AAGAAACUCCCACUUAACAUUUUUCAGCAAAAGAAAGUUAACUAGUUGGCCUACAGUGUCUUCACCAAUACUACUUCAUCGAAAACUGUUUUAGAUAACAAGAGAAAGCAAGAAAUGGGUCAUUUCUCAGCCAUUUUCAGUUGCUUUGUUCCAUCGGCUUCUUCAAGGGUUAUAGAUGAAGCCCAUAAGAAGGCAGAGAUUCCUAAAAGCAAAUCAAAAUCGUAAUUUCAAGUCAACUAAACUGAAAAAAAAGAGUCACCAAGAUGGCACAAUUCAUUUCCCGAUGGAAAUAUUUGAAUCAUAAUUUUGAUUGAAGAGGAUUAUUACAAAGAUAGAGUUUCAAGUCAACCGAGCUAAAGUUCUAAGAAGAUUAGGUUUGAAGAAAAAUUUAUGUGUGUUUACAAACUUACUACGCAAAGCCCUUGAUGAGUCUUUGCUCCGUAAAUAUUAUAAAGAGGGGGCAUCUGUUGUAACCCAAUUUUGACCCCUUAUUUUUCUAAAUAUUUUCAACAUACAAAAAAUAAAAAAAAUAUGUUCUUGAUGUGUUUGCAUUAUUUUUAGUGACUUCUCAAAAGAAUUCAAAUUUCAAAUUUCAUUUCAAUGCUUUUAGCUUUUAAAGCGUCAUUUUCAAAAUUAUUGAUUUUUCUCGUUGAGUCGGCUUUGAUUUUGCCUUUAAAAAAAAUCAAAAUACAAAAAAAUAAGAAAAAUAAAAAAUAUUUGGAAAAAGGUAAUAAAAUGGAAAGGAAGAAAACAAGGGACUAAAGUGAAUUUAGGUUGCUUGUUGGACUAAUCAAUUGGGAAAGAAGAUGACAUUUUUUACCUAUAAAAAGGUGUUUAUCUCACACAAGAGAGGGGGGAGAGGAAAAAAAAAAGAAUAACAUAAAAUUUUCACACUCUCUCCCACAAAAAAAAAAUCCCUAACAUAUUUUCUUUAUACCUACCCUCUAGCCACCACACAAAAAAGGGACCCACAUCGUCCUCUCUACCGUAACUCCUCUCCAUCAACACCUAAGCUUUCUUCUAAUGAUGAUCCCUCCUCCACAAACCAUCAUAGUUGUCAACACACUUACACCAGUUAAACCAUCAGUCUUUCUACAUCAACAACACAUAAUAGCUCAUUUCAAUCACCACGACUCGUGAGCACGAUUAUACACAACCACAACCACACCAACUCCCCACGAUACACGAAGACCACCAUGACACUACUAUGUAGUAGUAGGACUGGUAGCAACCAGCUACUACCAUCCAUCAUCAACCCUGGCUCUCCAUCAUAACCCUUUUGCCAUCGCAAAUGCCUGUAGCUUUAAAGGCCAACUAGUAGCCACGGACACCAAUGACAGCAGAAGCUUCUUCGGUGGUCAUUGUUGAGAACCACCUUAAUAAUGGCAGUCUCUAAACUUUGAACCCAUUCCAUAGUACACCCUAGUUCACACCAAUAAUCCCUCUCCUACUCAACUUGUCGCUGGCUGAAUGAAUUAGUCUCUUAAACGCCUAAAUUGCAAUUUCCCUCUCCCAAUCACUACUAAAAAGAAAGGAAACUAGUCAAUAUCUCUCCAUUAGUUUCAAUUGCACAAGGCAACGUUCAAUCCCUCUCUCGGCCUCCACUGCCAACUCAGAUCUUUCAUAAUUGGCCAUAACCUUCACCCUUUUUAUCCCUUAUUAGUCACGGUGGCAGCCUCAUUACAGAGGAGAAUGCGAAGAAAUAAGGGGAAACUGAAAGCCAUUAAAGAGGAAGAUAGAAAAAAUUGAAGCUUUGAAAGGCUAGAUCUCUAUUCUUAAGCAGUGGUGGGCGUCACCGCCAGUCUAGAGGUGAAGAGGAGACAAAGGAGCAUCGAAUCCACCAGCUCACGCUCCUCCAGUAGUGGCGCGUGAAUCCACAUGUCGACAAUGUUGGUGGCUCAUGGUACAUGUGCUGCCACUAUGCCAGAGGUCUUUCAAUGUCUAUUUUAGUAUAUCCUAGACAUUUCAAACGCUUUGGAUGAUCGAUCUAUAAACUCAAACCUUUUUUGGAUAAAUUGCUAUAACACUGUGAAUGUUUUGGAACCAAAUGCUUAUUAUUUUGUAUAAUAUUUAGACUGUUUGGACACUAUUAGUUUGGUUUGAUGUCUAUUAUUUUAUUAUUUUGAAAUGAUGUGUUUAUUUGUGUUGAAUUUUGAAAUUAUGUUUUGGACAUUACGUUGGUGCAUGAGUUAUAUUUGGAGUUAUUUUGAUUCAUUUGAAUUAACAUGAAAUUUGAUUGAAGUAGGUGAAAUUAAUAAAAUCUAUGUAGAUGUUUGACAUUGUUUGGUUUUGAGUUGAUGAACAAUAAUUUGUUUUGAAUUGAUAUAUUGGUUAAAAUAGCCUUGAUAAAAACAUUUUAUUUGCGUUUUACCAGAUACGUCCUUCGUCAAUUUUUUAAUAAUUUUUUAAUUUUUGAAAAAAUCAUUUUGAAAUUAAUUUUGAAUUCCCCACUCUUUUUUUCUACCCUCACGUGUUUAAUAUUUAGAAUUGUGACCUAUACACAAGAUAUGUUUUCGGUAUUAAACGAAUCAUUUUUCCUCCACAAAAAAAAAUAUAACAUAAAAUCUUUUUUUAAAAAAAUACGAAGGAUUUGAGCAUCUUUUUUAAAGAAAAUUUAAAAUAGUUUUGCAUGUUUUGUUUUUAAAAAUAUUGCUUGGAUUUUAGAACAAAUUUGUAAAAUUCCAAAUGAUUUUGGUCUACAUUUCAAAAAUACUAAAACAUUUUUUUUAAUAUAUGAGAUUAUGAACUUAUACGUUAGGUUUUAAACCUGAUAAGAUAAGAACCUCCUUACCGAUGAGGACUUUUCUUCAACCUUAAACAAACAAAUAGUUAGAAAACACAAUAUUUUCUUAGUUUAUAUCAGAUAAAUAAAUAAUACAACUUACCUCAGGUAAGGCGUAUUAGGAGUGCUAAUACCUUCACUUUAUGCAAUCAGUCCCCUUACCCAAACUCUAAGACCAGUUAGGGUCAUAGUAACCAAAAUAUUAGGUGACGACUCUGAUUCCCUUUUUUCUAUUGAUAAAGAACAAGAAUUCCUUAUCCUUUCCACUUGCAUCAUUCCCAACUAUUCUGAUCCGGAAAGAUGAUCGUCGUGGCGUCGUAUAUGUGUGAUACUGAUCAUAUGAGUACUUUUAGAUUUUUUUUUAUGUGCGAGACAUUUAUCCUUUCUAUGAUGACCAGUCUUUGUAUCUAGAGCUUGGAAAUGAAUUAAGAUCAAAAUUUUCAAAAGUAAAAGAGGUUGACGUGGAACAUGAAAUAAAGUAAGAAGCCUAAACAUAUCUAAUUAAUAAGAACAUGAAAUAAAGUCUACCAAAAAAGCCUAAACAUGUCUAAUUAAUAAGCCUAACAAAAACAACAACAAUGGAUGAUCCAAUCAUUGGAUCAGACUAAAAUAUUUUUAGGAGAUUCUACGAAUAUUUUUUAAUGUGAAAUGAUUUGUCAUUAUUGGACUGUUGGAUUUCUAAAAAUUAGACCCAUAAAUUGUUAUGUUGCCUAUUUUAGAUAUUUUUCAAAAUAUUUUUGAAUUUUAAUUAGUUUUUUUCUACUUAGAUCUCGACUCUUAAUUAGGUUGACUUUAGGACUUCUAUAUAAAUAGUUAACGUGCUUUUUUUUAAUUAUUAUUCAGUUUAUUAAAACAUUUUUAUAAAAUAUCAAAUAUUUUUUAUAUUGCUUUAGAGUAUAAUGAUUAUAACUUUAGAGCUUGAAAACUGUAAGUUUAUCUUCAUUAUACACUCUAUCAACUCACUAUGGUGUACAAGGGCGAGAUUUAAAGCUGGACAUGGGAUUCACUCAGAACGACCUUUUAUCAGACCAAGACCAAGUUAGGUUUGCCCAAACAUGGGGACAAAUUAGGGAAGGUUAGUGUCACACGUGUGUGGCGUCGCGACAAUCAUUCUCCUGGAUCGGGAAUAGGAUGGGGAAAUGGAUAGGAUAAAUAAUUCUUAUCAUUUAUUAGUGGAAAGAGGGAAUGAGAGUCGCUACCUAAUAUUUUGGUUACUAAGAACUCUAACUGGUUUCAGAGAUUGGGCACAUGGACUGGUUGCGUAAAAGGAAGGUACUAGCACCCCUAAUGUGCUUUACCUAAGAUAAGCUGCAUUGUUUAAUUGUCUGAUAUAAACUAAGGUAUUGUUGUGUUUUCUAAUUAUUGGUCUGUAUAAGGUUUAAGAAAAGUUUUUCUCAAUAAAGAGAUCUUUAUUUUAUUAGGUAAAAAGCUAACCGUUCUAAUGUCAAUAUAAAAAAUAAAAGAACUAUCUUUUUAUUUAAUAUCGGGAAUACAUCUUACGUAUAAGUUUGUAAUCCUAGAUACUAAAAGAAAAGAAAAUAAUUUUUUUGGUAUUUUUGGAAUAUGGGCCUAGUUCUCAUAACUUUAAUAAUCUGGUUAUUAAAGCCCAAAAUGCAUGCUAAUACAUACUCUUUUUUGAAAAAAAAUUGUAUGAAAAUAUGAUAUGAUUUUUUAUAUAUAUUUUUGAGAGACUUGGCCAUAUGCAUGAAAAUAAGAUAUUUUUUUGUUGUUUUUUAUAUUUUUAUUUUGCAAUAUUUCAGAGAAAAUCGAGUAUUUUAAUACCGGAUUUGUAUCUUACAUUGUAAAAAUACAAAUCAAUAUUAAGCAAAAUUGGUAGAAAAAUCUACGAGAAAAUCACAAUUUUUUUUUUGAAAGGAUUGAAACAAAAAUUUAGAUUUUUUUGUUUUUGUUUUUAUUUAAUAUAUAAUAUUAUAUUAUAUAUUAUUAUAAUUAUAUAAUAAAAUAUAUUGGGAUGGGUCCGACCCAAUUAUAUGGGCUGAGCCCACCUUGGUUGGGCCGAGGUCAGCCCAACAAGUUUUGCUUUAAGGGGACUGGGUCGACAUUCGUCCGGCCUAGAAACAAUGGGCUCUCCAUUGUACACAUGCUACGUGAAUAGUGGUGAUGGGGGGUGAAGAAGAAGAAGAAGAAGAAGAGGGGGAAGCUGACCUGAUUGUGGCUCACGACGACGUUCGUCCCUGCUGGAGUUGGAGCUGCUAGUUCUUCUUCAAAACGAGGUGGUUGUGCAUUGAGGGAAGCUGUUUUCAAUGGUGGCUUGUAGUCGCGGCUGUUGGGGGAAAGGCAACCUUAUUCUCUUUUUUUCUUUUUGUUUUUUCUUUCUUUAUUUUUCAUUUUUUUGUUUCUCUUUCGUCUGUGUUUCUUUGUCCCUAGUGUGUUUUUUUCUCGUUCUUGUCUCUGUUUUUGUCCCUCGUGUCGCACGUGAGCGACGUCGCGGCGAUCGUCCACCCACAAAAAUAAAUGUAAUGGGGGGGGAUAAAUCUGGUCAAUGUGGGGAGACAAGGAAUUCGUUGUCUCUUAGCAGUAAAAAAAUGGUGUGGGAGUCGCCACCUAGUAUUUUGGUCACUAGGAACCCUAACUGGUCUCAGAGAUCGGGCACGGGGACUAGUUGCGUAAAGGGAAGGUAUUAGCACCCCAAAUACGCCCUACCUAAGGUAAGCUGCAUUGUUUAUUUGUCUGAUAAAAUUCAAGGUUUCGUUGUGUUUCCUAGUUGUUGGUCCGUCUAUGGUUCAAGAAAAGUCCUCCUCAAUAAGGAGGUCCUUAUCUUAUCGGGUAAAACCUAACCGUUCUAAUGUCUAUGUAAAAAAACAUAUUUUUAAUAUCAGGAAUACGUUUUAUGUAUAAAUUAGUAAUCCCAAAGACAAAAAGAUUUUUUUUAGAAUUUUUGAAAUAUUGGCCUAGUUCUCAUGGCUUGAAUAAACUGGUUAUUAAAGCCAAAAUGCAUGCUAAUACAUAUAUUGUUUUGAAAUUUCUUUUGUUGUGUGAAAAUAUGAUGUUAUAAUAUUUAUAUAUAUAUAUUGGAGAGACUAGGCCGUAUUUUAAAACAAAACAUUUUUUAAAUAUGUAUUUUUUGUACGUUUUGACGCAAAUCGGGUAUUUUAAUACUGGGUUUGUAUCCUUGCGGUAUAAAAAUACAACCAAAUAUUAAUCCACUUUGAUAAAACAAAUGCAGAAAAAUCAACAACAUUUUUAGAGAAUUUUUGAAGGCAAAAGACAUUUUUUUAUUUUGAAAAUCUUUAAUGUUUUGAUGAAAACCGGGUAUUUUAAUACCGAAUUUUGUAUCUUUACAGUAUAAAAUACCAACCGAUAUUAAUCACAAUACAGUAAUAAAAUUACAACAAAAUCACAUAUAUUUUUUUUUAUAAUUUUUGCAUAAUUUUUAUAAUUUUUUCAUAUAUAUAUAUAUAAAUAAUACAAAAUAUAAUAUAUAUAAUAUAAUAUAUAAUAUUAAAUGGGCUGGGCUGGUCCGGCCCAACCGACUGGGCCGGACUCAGCCCCAAAAGUGUUGGGCCGAUUUCGGCCCAAAAUGGAUUGGGCCGAUCUCGGCCCAAAAAAUAAUAUUCUCUUCUGGGCCAGACCCGGCCCAGAAUACAGGGCUGGGCCGGACUCGGCCCAGAAGGCAGGACUGGGCCAGGAUCCGCCUGGCCCAGACCAAAACGGGCGGGGGGAAUUAAUUUCCCCCCACCCCUGCAUGCAGAACGCUAUUCGUUCUGCAUGCAGAGAAGGAAAAAAAAAUAAAAACCAGAAUAGGGGGGAAGAAGAGUUACCUGGCGCGGAGGUGGUGGUGGCGCUGGUGUUGCUGCUGCUGCUGGAGGCGGUGCUGGUGCUGGUGCUGCUGGAGGCGGAGGCGGUUGACUCUCGGACGGCGGCAGUGGCGCUGCUGUUAGCAGCCGAGAGGGAGUUCCUUACUCCUCCCUUGUCCUUCGUUUCCUUUCCCUUUCGUUUUCUCCCCUUUCUUCUUCUUCUUUGGUUUUCUUUCCCCCCCUUUUCCUUUCUUUCGGUUCACUCUUCUUCCUCUCCCCUUUCUCUCUCUUUCGGUUUUUUCGUUCUCCUCCCCUCUCCUCUGUUUUUUCCCGUUUCUUUCUCCCCGUCGCUUUUUCUCCUCCCCAGCGUUCUUGGGGUUCUAUUUAUAGAGCCCAGGGCGUGGCUUUGCUGUGGAGCAUGGGGAGCAACCGGCCGGUCGGCCAUUGGGCACGACUACCAAGGUUCGGCCCCCCUCCCCGGUUUUCUGGCAAGUGCGCGGUGGGUGGUCGGCCAUUGUGUCCGGUCGGUGGGCUCCAGGCGAGAGAGUGGCCGGCAAAAAUUCAAAAAAAAGCUUCCCUUUUUCCUUCUUCCCCGCUGCAUGUUCGGGGGGAAGAAGAAAGAUGAACAGUGUCGUUCAAAACGACACCGUUCUGCUCUUUCUUUUUUUUUUCUUUUUUUUAAUGUAUGAAACGGCGUCGUUUUGGAGAAAACGCGCCGUUUCAUUUAAAUGUGGCGCCAAAACGCGCCAAAUUUCAAAUCAGCCCUCAAUCAUCUUUUUUUCUUCAAUUACAUCCCUGCCAAUUUCGGUCUUCGCCCCUCUUGUUGGCCGCGUUUUUCACUUUAGUCCUUGGCCUCUGAUUUAUGCAAUUGAGCCCUUAAUUGAUCAAAAAACUUCUAAUUUCUUCAAUUAGGCCCCUGAAUCAAUUAAUUCCAGCCCCUCCAUUUACGCGCCUCUUCCAAUUUGGUCCCUGGUUUCGAAUUUUCUCAAUUAAGUCCCCAAUUGGCCCUUAAACUUCAAUAUUUAUGCAAUUAGGCCCCUGAUUUGACCUAAUAAAUUCCUAAAAAAUAUAUUUUGGCCCCAGAACUUAAAUUUCUUCUAAUUAAAGCCCAAAUUGACUUAAAAAUCAAUUUUUCUUACAAUCAAAUCUCCUAUAAAUUCAUUUAAAAAUCCAAUUAAGUCCAUAAACAUCCAAAUUUGGGCUUUUCUCCUCAAAUUUCAAAUUUUCCUUCUCAACAGGGCUCUCCUCCUUCAAGAAUAUACUGUCAAAAAACCAAUCUUUGUAUUUUUAACCUCAUUGACCAAUUUUCCAACCACUUUCUGAGCGCUUCUACCUCCUGUUAUUUUUCUAACCUCCUUUGGCUAUAUAUUUUUAUAUAUAUUUUGUGGGGACCCAAAAAUGGGUUACAACAGAUGCCCCCUCUUUAUAAUGCUUACGGAGCAGAGGUUUUGCGCAGUAAGUUUUAUAAAGAUAACCCAAAAUGGAACUCCCGAAACUGAUCUGGUUGAAGCUUGAUUGAUCUGAAACUUGUCUUUUACAGCAAUCCUCCUCAACUGGGAAUCCCAUCUGGCGAUUCCCUUUUAACCAACAUGAAAUAUGAGGUCCCAUCUGGCGACCUCCUUUAACCAAUAUCGAAAUACGAGAUCCUUUCCGGUGAUCUCCUUUAACAAAAAAAAUCUUAGAAUCCCAUCUGGCGAUUCCUUGUAAUCAAAUGUUGAAAUAUGAGGUCCCUUCUGGCGACCUCCAAAUAGCGAAAUACGAGAUCCCUUCUGGCGACCUCCAAAUAGCGAAAUACGAGAUCCCUUCUGGCGAUCUCCUUCAACUUGGAAUCCCAUCUGGCGAUUCCUUUUAUUCAACAGGUAAUACGAGGUCCCAUCUGGCGACCUCCAAAUAGUGAAACACGAGAUCCCUUCUGGCGAUCUCCUUUAGUCAACUUGGAAUCCCAUUUGGCGAUUCCUUUUAUUCAAUGAAAAACGAGGUCCCAUCUGGCGACCUCCAAAUAACGAAACACGAGAUCCCUUCUGGCGAUCUCCUUUAACCAACUUGGAAUCUCAUCUGGCGAUUCCUUUUAUUCAAUGAAAAACGAGGUCCCAUCUGGCGACCUCCAAAUAACGAAACACGAGAUCCCUUCUGGCGAUCUCCUUUAAUCAACUUGGAAUCCCAUCUGGCGAUUCCUUUUUUUUUUUUCAACAGGUAAUACGAGGUCCCAUCUGGCGACCUCCAAAUAGCGAAACACGAGAUCCCUUCUGGCGAUCUCCUUUAGUCAACUUGGAAUCCCAUCUGGCGAUUCCUUUUAUUCAAUAAAAAACGAGGUCCCAUCUGGCGACCUCCAAAUAACGAAACACGAGAUCCCUUCUGGCGAUCUCCUUUAAUCAACUUGGAAUCCCAUCUGGCGAUUCCUUUUUUUUUUAAUAGGUAAUACGAGGUCCCAUCUGGCGACCUCCAAAUAGCGAAACACGAGAUCCCUUCUGGCGAUCUCCUUUAAUCAACUUGGAAUCCCAUCUGGCGAUUCCUUUUAUUCAAUGAAAAACGAGGUCCCAUCCGGCGACCUCCAAAUAACGAAACACGAGAUCCCUUCUGGCGAUCUCCUUUAAUCAACUUGGAAUCCCAUCUGGCGACUCCUUUUUUUUUUCAACAGGUAAUACGAGGUCCCAUCUGGCGACCUCCAAAUAGCGAAACACAAGAUCCCUUCUGGCGAUCUCCUUUAGUCAACUUGGAAUCCCAUCUGGCGAUUCCUUUUAACAAACAUGAAAUAUGAGGUCCCAUCUGGCGACCUUCAAAUAGUGAAGUAUGCGAUCUCCAUCAACUUGGAAUCCCAUCUGGCGAUUCCUUUUAUUCAAAGCGAUAUGCGAGGUCCCUUCUGGCGACCUUCUUCGACCAAUAUCGAAAUACAAGAUCCCCUCUGGCGAUCUAAGACAACUUGGAAUCCCAUCUGGCGAUUCCCUUUUAUUCGAAGCUGAAAUAAUGAGAUCCCUUCUGGCGAUCUCCUUUAAUCAAAAACCAAAAAAUCUAUCUUGUAAAUCGGUUAACCUGGAGUCCCCUCUAGCAAUUCCCUUUUACUGAUUGCUCGAUGUCGUUCUUCUUGAUGGCAAGGUUUGAAAAUUAUUAUCUUCUCUUCUCGUUGUUCUAGAAUCAACUCAAUGAUUCUUUCUUCAUCUCCAAUUUUGUUGGAAUGUAUUAAGGUCUCCUCCUGUAAUGAUCCAAAAAACAUAUAUGCAAUGAUUUAUGAUUAGAUGCCAUGCAUGCAUUCGUACCUGGUUUUGAAACAUAGGCCCCAUCAUCUUCUUCGAGUUCAUGAGAUUCCCUCUUAACAUGAGCUUGCUUUUGAAGUCGUAUGCUAGAUUCAUCUCUCGUGUUGCCUCCUAUCAUAUUCUUGGAGAAGAAAUCUCUGACUUUCUUCAAAUAGUCCUUUUUCCAAAAUGUAUGACUUGUCAUUGCCUCUUUGUCAUGCUUUUGUCAAAUGUUUUAGCUUGGUUUUCAAAUCUAUAGGCUUCCGUACAUGAAAACAUCUCUUAUUGCCCCCAGUGUAGGGGUGUGAUUCUAGUCUAGGCUUUUAUAGAGAGAAGAAAUUCGUUCAGCCGAUGCUAAACACAAGACAUGCACUUUUGGGAUUAAUGCAAAAAUGAUUGUUGUGAGAUCAAUGCAAAAGAGAAAGAAGUCAAUGGCCAAACUUUGCUUUAUUGAUUUAGGAGCCUACAUCAAGCAUAAUAUCUUUUUACAGAGUCAGAAUUCACAGGUCGAGCUAGGUCUUCUCCAUCCAUUCUAGCCAACUUCAGCGCUCCUCCUGAGAAUGCCUUCUUUACUACGUAAGGACCUUCGUAAUUCGGUGCCCAUUUGCUUUGAUCGUCUCCAGGUAGUGCCAAUAUUUUCUUCAAUACUAGAUCCCCUUCUUGAAACAACCGCGGUCUAACCUUCUUAUCAUAUACCUUGGCCAUUCGUUUCUGGUAAAGUUGGUGAUGACAUAUUGCGGCCAUCCUCUUUUCACUGAUCAGGUUCAGUUGCUCAUAUCUCACUUUGGCCCACUCGGCCUCUUCUAAUUCAGAGUCCAUCAAUACUCUUAAUGACGGGAUUUCUAUUUCCAAAGGCAUCACUGCUUCCAUACCGUACACCAGAGAAUAUGGAGUGGUUCCUGUCGAGGUCCUAACUGUAGUGCGGUAUGCAUGUAGAGCGAAUGACAACAUCUCAUGCCAAUCUUUAUACGUGACUACCAUUUUCUGAAUAAUCUUUUUGAUGUUCUUGUUGGCAGCUUCUACUGCGCCAUUCAUUUUUGGCCGGUAUGGCGAGGAGUUCGAAUGCUUAAUCUUCCACUUGGUACACAACUCCACUAUCAUUUUGCCAUUGAAAUUCUGUGCAUUAUCGGUCACUAUCUUUUCCGGAGGACCAUAUCGACAAAUCAAAUCCUUUUCUAUAAACCUCUUCACUACCUUCUGUGUUACAUGGGCAUACGAAUUAGCUUCCACCCAUUUGAUGAAGUAGUCAAUAGCCACGAGGAUGAAUCUAUGACCAUUGCUAGCUUUUGGGUUAACAGGCCCGAUCACGUCAAUUCCCCACAUUGCAAAUGGCCAAGGGGAUAUUAGAUUAAAUAGAGGAGCUGGGGGCAUAUUGACCUUGUCACUGUAAACUUGACAUUUAUGACAUUUCCUGACAUAGUCGAUGCAGUCUUUCUCUAAAGUCAUCCAAAAAUAACCAGCCCUUUGUAUUUUCCUUGCUAUCAUAUGCCCGCUAGCAUGUGUUGAGCAAAUCCCCUCAUGGACCUCCCGUAAUGCCUUUCUAGCAUCUGCCUCAUUCAAACACCUUAGCAAGGUUCCAUCAAAUGAUCUUUUAUACAAAAUCUCUCCAUCUAAAUAGAAGUCUAUAGCCAACCUUCUCAAGGUUUUCUUAUCCGUUUUGGAAGCUCCCACCGGAUAUUCGUGAUUUUGCACAAGGUUCUUGAUAUCGUAAUACCAAGGAUGUCCGUCUAUCUCUCCUUCAACUAAGCAACAAUGAGCUGGGUCAUUUCUAAUGUCAAUGUGUACCGGUUGUACCUUGCACUUGAGAUCAAUGGUAGUCAUAGCAGCUAGUGUGGCCAAAGCAUCUGCAAAAUGGUUCCCCUCCCUUCCCAGAUGGGUGAAUCUAAUUUCUUCAAAUUCCUUUGCUAGCGUGGACAGGUAUUCCUGGUACGGCCUCAACUUUUCCUCCUUGGUUUGCCAUUCCCCUUUAACCUGACAGAUAAUCAACAUUGAAUCUCCAUAUACAUCUAACUUCUUUAUCUUCAACUCUAAUGCCGCUUCUAAACCGAGGAUACAAGCUUCAUACUCAGCUGUGUUGUUGGUGCACUCGAAAUGUAGUUUAACCGAAACUGGAUACUGUUUCUUAUCAGGAGAGAUUAUUACCGCACCAGCCCCGUUACCAUAUACAUUCACUGCACCGUCAAAAAACAUCGUCCACCAAUCUGUCUUCUCUUCUUCUUUCUCUAUUGACAAUAUAUCUUCAUCAGGGAAGUCAAAAUCCAAAGGUUCGUAAUCUUCAACAGCAUUAUCGGCCAGAUGGUCCGCGAUUGCACUUCCUUUUACGGCUUUCCUUGUCAUGUAUACUAUGUCAUAUUCUGCUAAUAGAACUUGCCACCUUGCAUUUCGACUUGAGAGAAAUGGCUUGUUACAAAUGUACCUCAGAGGAUCCACUUUUGAAAUCAACCAAGUGGUAUAGUAUAACAUAUAAUGCCGCAACCUCUUUGCUGCCCACACCAACGCACAACAAAGCCUUUCUAUCUCCGUGUAUCUAGACUCACAUUCAGUGAAUUUCUUACUUAAGUAAUAAAUAGCUCUUUCCUUCCUUCCUUCCGGUUUCAUCAUGUUGACCCAAUACACAUCCCAUGGCUGCUUCAGUCACUGUUAGGUACAAUACUAGAGGUUUUCCUGAUACCGGAGGAACCAGUAAAGGUGGAUUUUGCAAAUAAUGCUUGAUUUUAUUGAAUGCCUCCUCACACUCCUCAUUCCAGGUUCCAGGAUUCUUUUUCCUUAGUAGUCGGAAUAUUGGUUCACACGUCGUUGUUAACUGAGCUAUGAACCGAGCAAUGUAGUUUAUCCUUCCCAAGAAUCCUCUUACUUCUUUCUCCGUCUUAGGGGAUGACAUAGCUUGGAUGGCCCUUACUUUAUCUGGAUCCACCUCUAUACCUCUAUCACUUACCACAAAUCCUAACAGCUUACCCGAUUUAACUCCAAAUGAACAUUUUGCAGGAUUGAGCCUUAAUUCAUACUUCCUCAAUCUCUCAAACAACUUCCUCAAAACUUCAACAUGAUCCUCUCCCCUUUUAGACUUGGCAAUCAUGUCGUCUACAUACACCUCAAUUUCCUUGUGCAUCAUGUCGUGGAACAAAGUCACCAUUGCUCUUUGAUAGGUUGCUCCUGCAUUUUUCAAUCCAAAUGGCAUGACCUUAUAGCAGAAUGUCCCCCAAGGUGUGACAAAAGUUGUUUUCGUCUUAUCCUCCGGAGCCAUUUUUAUCUGGUUGUAUCCUGAAAACCAUCCAUAAAGGAAUAUGUGGAACUCCGGGCCGCGUUGUCCACCAAAACAUCUAUGUGUGGUAGCGGAAAAUCAUCCUUGGGACUAGCCUUAUUCAAAUUCCAAAAAUCCACGCAUACUCUAAUCUUCCCCUCCUUCUUAGGCACCACAACAAUGUUAGAUACCCAUUGUGGAUAUCUAACUACUUCUAGAAAACCAGCAUCCCAUUGCUUCUCGAGUUCUGCCUUGACCUUGAUCCAGACAUCCGGGUGGGCCCUCCUCAGCUUCUGCUUGACUGGCUUACAGCCUUCUUCCAACGGUAUCUUGUGUACUACGAUAUUUGUGUCCAAACCGGGCAUAUCUUCAUAAGACCAAGCAAAGACAUCUGCAUAUUCUUGUAACAGGGCGAUCAUUUUUGUCCUUAGUUCCGAAGUAAUUAGUGUACCUAUUUUCAACUCCUUCUUGAACUGAUCACUGCCUACAUUGAUGGUUUCGAGUUCCUCUGCGGCAGGUUUCCAAGUCUGUUCAUGUUGUUCUACUAGCCUGGUGAAUUCACUGAUACUGCUUUCAUCCCACUCUUCUUCUUCCAUAGUUAUCACAUGUUCGUUCAAGUUUGGCCAUGUAUGUGAUGUUGUAGGAGAUCCGCUUUCAGGAUUCCUGAAAGCGGGAAUUGUUUGGUGUAAAUGCAUAAAAGAAGAUGGCAAUUUGUGAAAAGUGCAUGAUCUCACAAUUUAUUUAAAGAAAAGGUAGGCUCCAUGACAAACACGAAAUCUAGCCGACAAUUGAGCCUUGAUCGUCGACUAGUGAAAAUAAAAAACCAACCAAAGCAAUGACAAAAGCAUGUUAAGACAAACAAAAUUGGUUUACAUUUUGAAAACCACUGGAGCUUCUUGGGUCACCCAGUUCUGAAACUUCUCGUCCUGAGCCAACUUGCGCACAAAGGUCUUGGCGGAGACUUCUUCUAUGGUGUAGACCGUCAGUUGUGGCAGUGUUUCGUCUCCCUUUCUUGCUACUGUCUUCAUGUCAUCUCCUUCCACCUUGUUUUCCCCCAAGGUAUUUAUGCUCAUGUUUGACAGCUCUUGGUCAAGGCUUUCGGCUUCUUUAUCAUGUUGCAUUAUGUAUGCAGCUUUUGGGAAUGACACGCCAAGGGGAGGGAUUUCUAGCUUUUCUUCCUCUAGCUCUCUUCCUUUAAUUCUAGCCAUCCUUCUUGCCCUUCUCCGACCAGCAGCCCACCGAUAAUCCUCUUGGUUAGGUUGGUAUCCUAACCCAAAUCUUUGAGCAGCACUUUUCAUCCUUGCCAGAUUAACCCCUUCUGGUAUCCUGAUAAUAAGGUUAUAUUGAAAUGGGAUCCCGCGGUUCAAGAAGCAUAGACUUGCCAUCCUUGCUGCUUCCGAGAUCCUUGGCCUUCUUAGCACUGUGUUCUCCGGCACCCAGUCGGUGUUCACAAUCUCAAAGGCAUGGAUAUUGUUACCCUUGCAAUCACCCGCUUCGAUAAAAGGCACAGCUACAUUCUUUGUCAUGGAUACUGUCUCCUCGGCCUUGACAGUUACCAACAUCCCAUUCAUGAUAUACUUCAGGCAUUGGUGCAAUGAUGAAGCUACUGCCCCCGCUGCAUGAAUCCAAGGUCUUCCUAACAACAUACUAUAGGAAGGGUGGAUAUCCAUAACCUGAAGUGUUACUAGGAACAUUUGUGGUCCCACGUAUAGCUCCACUUCUAAAGUCCCAAUUAUUGGCCUAGGCGAUCCAUCAUACGCUCUGGCCAUCAUAGUACUUGGCUUAAUAUGGGAUUCAUCGAUCGGCAUUUCUUCCAGCAUGUGCUUUGGCAACACGUUAAGGGCUGAGCCAUUAUCAAUGAGUACUUUUCCUAUGAGGCAAUCCUUGCACCUAACCGUAAUGUAUAAGGGCUUGUUAUGUCCGGUACCUUCAGCAUCCAGCUCAUCAGCCGUGAAGUACAGGUAAUUAGUUGCAUGGAUCCUUCCCACUAAAUGCUCCAUGGUUUUAUGUUCAAUGUCUUGGGGUACAUAUGCCUCAUUCAAUACCUUUUGCAAGGUGUUUCGAUGCGGCUCAGAGCUGAGUAUUAAGGACAUAAGGGAGAUCCUAGCUGGAGUCUUCUUUAGUUGGUCUACUAUGCAAUAUUCGCUAUGCUUGAUCAACUUUAAGAAUUCAUUCGACUCCUCUUCCGUUACCGGCUUAUUAACUUCUAGUGCUUUGUCCAGAUCUACCACUUCUUUGCCCUUUGACUUCCUCAACUCCUCGGGCGUAAAGCAACGACCACUCCUGGUCAAACCACUUAUCUCAGACUGGAACAAAGGAAGAGGAGCUCGAACGUUAGUGGCAUAACCAUAAUUAUAAGGCAUGGCAUUGUGAUUCCCUUUUGUGUAGGACGGUUUAACCAAGAUUAGCCUUGGGGGCCCAUUAGCUGUUUGUUGGAUCCUACAUACUCCUAUCAUUUCAUCUUGACCUUCCAUCAUACUCACCUCACCGCUGCUCUUCAUGGGUUCAAUCCUCAACUCCCCUAUUUUUAGCAUUUUUGCAAUCUUUUCGCAAAACUCGAUGCAAUCCUCAAUAUGAUGUCCAUCUCUUCCAUGGUAUUCAUAGUAAUCAUAUCCCUCUAAAUGGCUCUCCACCUUUGUCUUUAGAAAUCCUGAUUGUACCAACAUGUCGUACAACCUCUUCAUGGACACCUUCAACACCUUGCAUUGAUUUACCACUUCGAUCAUGCCUAUUCCACUACUAUUUGGGGCAUGCUUAGGCAAUGGGUUUGAAUUAACAUUGGGCUUGUCCUCAAAGGAUACCCAUCCUAUCUUAAUAAGCUCCAGCAAUCUUUUCUUGAAAGCGUAACAGGUUUCAAUCCCAUGCCCGGGAUUACCCGCAUGGUACUCACAAGUUAACUCGGGCUUGUACCAAAUUGGGAAUGGUGGUUGUAAUGGUAGUGUAGGGAUAGGAGCUAUGUGCCCAAUGCUCAACAGUUUGGCGUACAUGUCCUUCAAAGGUAUGGGUAGCGGCGGCAGUUGUUCUGAAGGGUAUCUUGUAUGGGGUCUCUGGUAGUGAUUUUGGUAGUUUGAUUUGUUAUUUGUUCGAUUAGGGGAAAAAGAUUGGUUAAAGUUUAUGCGUGAGAAUUGAGAGGUAGGUACUUGUGGAUUGUGGGAAUCUACUUUCUUGCCCUUAUACCCGUCUUCCAGAUUGUUAACAUCGCCUUCUCUCUUUCUUCCAAUAAAACCCUUCUUUUCCACUGGCAUUGCUAUUCGCCCAGCUUUAAUCCCCUGUUCUAUCCUCUCAGCUAUGCGUACCGCAUCAUAGAAAUGUUGAGAGGAGCUACCCAUUAGGUGCUCAUAAUAAGGUGCUUUGAAGGUAUUGGCAAACAAGCUCACCAUCUCCGUUUCUAUCAAAGGGGGUUGGACAUGCAUUGCCUCAUCCCUCCAUCUUUGCGCAUAAGCCCUUACUGACUCCUGGCUCCUUUUCUCCAUUGCCAUUAGACUUGUUCGAUCAGGAGCGAUUUCCAUGUUAAACUUGUACUGUUUAAGGAAAGCCUCCACCAAGUCUCUCCAGCUCUUGAUCCUAAUGCUGUCUAACCUCAUGUACCAGCUUAAAGCGGAUCCUGCUAGGCUAUCUUGAAAGAAAUAGAUUAGCAAUUUAUCAUCACGGAUUACUUCCACCAUUUUGUUGCAGUAAGAUCGAAGGUGAGUGUUUGGGCAUUCCAAACCGGUAUACUUAAUGAACUCUGGUAUUCGAAAAUCUUUUGGUACCACGAUGUUUGGUACCAAACAUACUUCGGCUGCUCGCAUAGGGUCAAACCAGUCAUUACCCUCAACUGCCCUUAAUCUUUCUUCCAGAGCAAAUAGCUUGUCUUGGUCUAUCAAACUGGGAGACCUAUUAUCCGGGACUCCCUCCGUUGUUAAGUCAACAGUGACUGGAGUAUGAGGUGGUAGGAUAGGAGUAAUAGGCACAAACUGUUGUUCAUUGGCCGAGUUUGCCCCCUGGUUUUGAGAUGCUUGAGGAAUGUGAACUGCUGGCGCUCCUUCAAGCUGUCGUGCUGAUGUUCCCUCCCCAUUCUUAGCCCUUAGAAGCUGCUCAAGUAAGUCGGUUAGCCGAGAAACUUCAUUCUUUACAGACUCCAACUCGGUCUGAUAAUAUGACUCUAAGUGAGCUCUUUCUUCGUUCUCCAUUCUCGCUCGAGACCGGGUGUUGUGGAUUUUGGAUGUGGGACCUAUGUUUCACGGUCUGAGAUGCAUGGAAAAAUGUAAAUGAAUGUAUGAUAAAGAAAAUAAUGCAUGAAUGCUCUUAGAAGCUUGUUUUUUUUAAAAAACGAUCGAUGGCCAACAUUCCUCUUGUGUAAUGGGCAUGGACUCUUUUUGUCACGUUCCUUAUCAGGAGUAGUUGUGCUCAAGCUGCUGCUUUGGUAGGCCUAUGUUUUUACAAAAGAUGGGUCAAAGCCCCUUUUCAUUAAUAUUGGCUAAUACAUCUCUUGAAAAGAGGGUACAAAAUAAUAAAAAGAGAAAUACAUCAAUCUUCCUCUUCAUCCAUAUCUCUAGCCACUGGUAGGAACGCGAGGCCUCGAUUCUAAAUUUUCUUUAAGAAGGCAUCUGUCUCAGCCAAGCUUUGUCGAUAACGAAAGAUGUCCCUUCCCACCCUUCGAGCAUUGGCUCUAAUAAUUCGUGCGUGAAUGGCAGCUUCAUCCAUUUGCUCAUCUACCUUGGCCAUCUUCUCUAUAAGCAACAUGUUAUUCCGAUUCAAGGUAUUGUUGUUGGUGUCGAUCUGUUCUUUAUGUUUUUCUGAAACUUCCAACCUGUUGGUCAAUUGUUUCACCUUUUCUCGUUCUUUGUCAAACUUCACCUUCAACAUUCUAAUUUCAAUUUUCUUAGCUGCCAAAUCUGCCUUCAAAACCUCCUCUUCAUUCCCCUUUCUUUCGAACUCUUGUAAUUCAGCUAGCCGACUUUCUAUCAUCAUAUAUUUCUUGUUUAACUCAUCAUACUUCUCAAUUCGGUCUAACAACUCUGCUCUAACAUGCAAGAAUUUGUCCUGAUUGUACUCAACAUUCUCUUGAUAGCCAUCGAAGUCGGCUUUCAAUGCUUCCAACUCGGAACUGCUUUGCAUACAAUCAAAAAUCAAUCUUCCUCUUUCUUUCUCGGACUCUUCUAUUACAGCCUUUCCUUUGCUCAAUUGCAGCUCUAACAUCACUAUUUUCGCAUCUCUAGAUUCGAGCUGUUCGUUUAGAAACACUCUGCUUUUAUCCCCUUCCAUCAUCAUCUUUUCUAAUGCUGCUUUAUCUCCCUUACUUUUUCCUAAUUCUAUUUGGAGCCUUUCUAAUUGCUUCAUAAGGUCUUCCUCAUUACUGACCUUUUUUUCUUUUCAAUGACCCUUCUUCAAUUCGUGAAGGCCCAUCUUCAGAACAUGGCUUUUUCGGAGCGGCUAUCGGGGUCAAAUUCCUCCACUUUUCAUAUCCUUCGCUUGAAAUAGGGUCUCUCAAUCUUUCCGACUCCUUUUGAAUUAGAGUCAACUGGCUCCAAUCUUGUUUGAUGGUUUCAAGAACUUCUCGCGCGGAUUGAUCCUUGAAAAAUCCGGAAAAUUCAGCAAGUCCCACAGUUCUUGGGAUGUGUUGUAUGCCACCUAAUUGUCUUAUCACCAGAGCCGGAGCAUAGCUGACAUAACCUGUGAUCCCAAUUAAAGGUACCCAGCUUUUUUGUCCACAACUUACUAUGACAUCAACUGAUUUAACCCAAGGGGCCUUCCAACUAAAGUUGCUACUAGGUAACUCUUGCAGUUUUUUCAUCCAACCUUGAUCACCUAGGAUUCCCCAUUCUUCUUCCUCCACCAUCUUCAAGGGUUUUUGGUUAAACCACCAAAAAUCUGGACCAUAGAUCCCCAGAGCGAUUAACCUGUCUCUUUCUAGCACUGAGACGUAUUGCUCCUUUUUCCUUUCUAAUUCAGCUUCCAAAAACUUCCACUUUAAACCGCUGCCAUUCUUUUCUAAAAAUCUGCUCAGAUGUGGAAUCUUCAAUAAUUUUGACAACUCAGGAAUCACCUUGUCAUUUCUCAAAGGAAAAUAAACCUGGUGCAGGUGUUUGGGAAACUCCAUCAACAUUCCAUAUUCCUCUAUAGUGGGACACAAAUCCACAUUUCCAAAGGAAAAGCAUCUGUAAUCGGGAUCCCAAAAGUUAAUCAAGGCUUUAAUUGCUGGGUUCAAUACUCCUAUCUUUGCAAUUUCCAAUAAUCGCCCAUACUUCCCAAAAAAUGCCGCCUCAUCAAUAUUCUGACUAUGGCCCAAUAUUCUCUUCAUCUCAUAUACUACGCAAUUCAGGUCUUUGACUACUGGAAGCUUCCUUGCAUCAUAUCUAGAGCAAUCUCCCUCUGAUAGUUGUGACAAUUCAGAAUUCUGCCCAUAUUCCACAGUAGUAAAUUUGGUAAUGAUGGCCAUCUUAUCGUUUCAAAAUGACCUGAAAACCAAAUACUUUAUGGUUUAGGUUGUGUUAUGCAAAAAUGUAUUUUGUGGGGCAUACACCCUAUAGCCGGUUCUAAAUCUUUUGUGUUUGACGAGGGUAGGUUGGCUAUUCAGUCUCUAAAAAGGGUCUCUUGUUGUCCCAGUGAUUGCCCUCGUGGAGGCAAUAUGGGGGCUUGUAGGCAAUGAGAUGGUCACAUGUACCAACUAUUACCAGUCUAAGCACUCAGCGAAGAGUAGGGGUUUACACAAACUUAAACCUUGACUAACAGUCGUAAGGUAAGCUGCUAGUCCCCCACUUAACUUAAAGUUUGUGUGUGCUCUCAAUAAUCAAAGUAUGUGAUGCAUGUGACAGUUCUAUAAGAUGUAUGAGACAGUUCUAUACAAAUGCAUGAACAAUAUAUGUAAAAAUAUUUAAAGCGUAUAAGCAGGUAACAAAAGGAAAGGCAUAUUAACAAUAAACACACGAAAACAAAACAAAUCAGACAAAAACAAAGCUUAGUCCACAAGGUCCCCAGUGGAGUCACCAUUCUGUCGCACGUGAGCGACGUCGCGGCGAUCGUCCACCCACAAAAAUAAAUGUAAUGGGGGGGGAUAAAUCUGGUCAAUGUGGGGAGACAAGGAAUUCGUUGUCUCUUAGCAGUAAAAAAAUGGUGUGGGAGUCGCCACCUAGUAUUUUGGUCACUAGGAACCCUAACUGGUCUCAGAGAUCGGGCACGGGGACUAGUUGCGUAAAGGGAAGGUAUUAGCACCCCAAAUACGCCCUACCUAAGGUAAGCUGCAUUGUUUAUUUGUCUGAUAAAAUUCAAGGUUUCGUUGUGUUUCCUAGUUGUUGGUCCGUCUAUGGUUCAAGAAAAGUCCUCCUCAAUAAGGAGGUCCUUAUCUUAUCGGGUAAAACCUAACCGUUCUAAUGUCUAUGUAAAAAAACAUAUUUUUAAUAUCAGGAAUACGUUUUAUGUAUAAAUUAGUAAUCCCAAAGACAAAAAGAUUUUUUUUAGAAUUUUUGAAAUAUUGGCCUAGUUCUCAUGGCUUGAAUAAACUGGUUAUUAAAGCCAAAAUGCAUGCUAAUACAUAUAUUGUUUUGAAAUUUCUUUUGUUGUGUGAAAAUAUGAUGUUAUAAUAUUUAUAUAUAUAUAUUGGAGAGACUAGGCCGUAUUUUAAAACAAAACAUUUUUUAAAUAUGUAUUUUUUGUACGUUUUGACGCAAAUCGGGUAUUUUAAUACUGGGUUUGUAUCCUUGCGGUAUAAAAAUACAACCAAAUAUUAAUCCACUUUGAUAAAACAAAUGCAGAAAAAUCAACAACAUUUUUAGAGAAUUUUUGAAGGCAAAAGACAUUUUUUUAUUUUGAAAAUCUUUAAUGUUUUGAUGAAAACCGGGUAUUUUAAUACCGAAUUUUGUAUCUUUACAGUAUAAAAUACCAACCGAUAUUAAUCACAAUACAGUAAUAAAAUUACAACAAAAUCACAUAUAUUUUUUUUUAUAAUUUUUGCAUAAUUUUUAUAAUUUUUUCAUAUAUAUAUAUAUAUAAAUAAUACAAAAUAUAAUAUAUAUAAUAUAAUAUAUAAUAUUAAAUGGGCUGGGCUGGUCCGGCCCAACCGACUGGGCCGGACUCAGCCCCAAAAGUGUUGGGCCGAUUUCGGCCCAAAAUGGAUUGGGCCGAUCUCGGCCCAAAAAAUAAUAUUCUCUUCUGGGCCAGACCCGGCCCAGAAUACAGGGCUGGGCCGGACUCGGCCCAGAAGGCAGGACUGGGCCAGGAUCCGCCUGGCCCAGACCAAAACGGGCGGGGGGAAUUAAUUUCCCCCCACCCCUGCAUGCAGAACGCUAUUCGUUCUGCAUGCAGAGAAGGAAAAACAAAUAAAAACCAGAAUAGGGGGGAAGAAGAGUUACCUGGCGCGGAGGUGGUGGUGGCGCUGGUGUUGCUGCUGCUGCUGGAGGCGGUGCUGGCGCUGGUGCUGCUGGAGGCGGAGGCGGUUGACUCUCGGACGGCGGCAGUGGCGCUGCUGUUAGCAGCCGAGAGGGAGUUCCUUACUCCUCCCAUGUCCUUCGUUUCCUUUCCCUUUCGUUUUCUCCCCUUUCUUCUUCUUCUUUGGUUUUCUUUCCCCCCCUUUUCCUUUCUUUCGGUUCACUCUUCUUCCUCUCCCCUUUCUCUCUCUUUCGGUUUUUUCGUUCUCCUCCCCUCUCCUCUGUUUUUUCCCGUUUCUUUCUCCCCGUCGCUUUUUCUCCUCCCCAGCGUUCUUGGGGUUCUAUUUAUAGAGCCCAGGGCGUGGCUUUGCUGUGGAGCAUGGGGAGCAACCGGCCGGUCGGCCAUUGGGCACGACUGCCAAGGUUCGGCCCCCCUCCCCGGUUUUCUGGCAAGUGCGCGGUGGGUGGUCGGCCAUUGUGUCCGGUCGGUGGGCUCCAGGCGAGAGAGUGGCCGGCAAAAAUUCAAAAAAAAGCUUCCCUUUUUCCUUCUUCCCCGCUGCAUGUUCGGGGGGAAGAAGAAAGAUGAACAGUGUCGUUCAAAACGACACCGUUCUGCUCUUUCUUUUUUUUUUCUUUUUUUUUAAUGUAUGAAACGGCGUCGUUUUGGAGAAAACGCGCCGUUUCAUUUAAAUGUGGCGCCAAAACGCGCCAAAUUUCAAAUCAGCCCUCAAUCAUCUUUUUUUCUUCAAUUACAUCCCUGCCAAUUUCAGUCUUCGCCCCUCUUGUUGGCCGCGUUUUUCACUUUAGUCCUUGGCCUCUGAUUUAUGCAAUUGAGCCCUUAAUUGAUCAAAAAACUUCUAAUUUCUUCAAUUAGGCCUCUGAAUCAAUUAAUUCCAACCCCUCCAUUUACGCGCCUCUUCCAAUUUGGUCCCUGGUUUCGAAUUUUCUCAAUUAAGUCCCCAAUUGGCCCUUAAACUUCAAUAUUUAUGCAAUUAGGCCCCUGAUUUGACCUAAUAAAUUCCUAAAAAAUAUAUUUUGGCCCCAGAACUUAAAUUUCUUCUAAUUAAAGCCCAAAUUGACUUAAAAAUCAAUUUUUCUUACAAUCAAAUCUCCUAUAAAUUCAUUUAAAAAUCCAAUUAAGUCCAUAAACAUCCAAAUUUGGGCUUUUCUCCUCAAAUUUCAAAUUUUCCUUCUCAACAGGGCUCUCCUCCUUUAAGAAUAUACUGUCAAAAAACCAAUCUUUGUAUUUUUAACCUCAUUGACCAAUUUUCCAACCACUUUCUGAGCGCUUCUACCUCCUGUUAUUUUUCUAACCUCCUUUGGCUAUAUAUUUUUAUAUAUAUUUUGUGGGGACCCAAAAAUGGGUUACAACACCUUGUUUCCUUCUUUCCCUCUUUGUUUUUUCAUUUUAUUUUUUUGUGUCUUUUUUUUAUCCCUUCUCUCUAUUUUUUUUUGUUUUGUUAUCCCACUCACCUCUUGGUGAGGGAGGUAUUUAUAAGGGGCAGGGGGAGAGAGAGCUACCCUACCCCUGUCCAUGCCGAAGGGGUAGGGUGGCAGGGUUGCUACUGUGCAGUUGCCUCAGGGCUGCCCGCAAGGCUUGUCCCCUUAUUUUUUUCAUCUCAAUGGUAGGCCAUAAGAGGGGUGUGGGUUAUGUUGGGGUUUUUGGGCAAGUGGGAGAGAUAGAGAGACGUAGCAAAGGAGAGGAAGAAAAACAUUCUUCCCUUGCCUGUAGCGCGUCAAAGGGAAGAAGAAGAUGAACAGUGUAAUCAAAACAACACCGUUUUUAGCUGUCUUUUUUUAGAAAAAUAAUAGUGAAUGAAACGACGUCAUUUUGUACAAAACGCGCCGUUUCAUUUAAAUGAAAAUAGCUUCUAAAGACUUUGUUUCCAAAUCAAUCCUCAAUUAAGAUUUUGAUUCUAAAAAUCAAUUAAAUUGCAUCAUUACCAAAUUUAACUGUCAUUCCUAAAGUUGGCCGCCCUUUUCAUUUAGGUCCUUGGUUUUGAAUUAAUUUUUUUGACCCCUUAUUGAUCAACAAACUUUCAAUUUCUCCAAUUUAGCCCCUGAUUCGGUCAAUUCCAGCCCCUAUAUUCACGCGCCUUUUCCAGUUUGGUCCUUGGUUUUGUAUUUCUUUGAUCAAGUUUGUAAUUGCCCAUCAAACUUUAAUAUUUAUGCAAUUAAGCCCCUGAUUUGAUCAAAUUAACUCUUACAAAUUGUAAUUUGACCCCUAAACUUCAAUUUAUUCCAAUUAAAGCCCAAAUUGACUUAAAAAUCAAUUUUCUUGCCAUUAAAUCCUUCAUAAAUUCGGUUAAACCUUCAACAAAAUGUAAUUGGGUCCUUAAACAUCCAAUUUUGAAUUUGUCUUCCUUAUAUUGAAUUUUCUUUGCCAGCAGGGCUUUUAUUAGUCAAAAAUAUAUUUUCAAAUUUCAAUCUUUAUACUUUUAAACCUCAUCAACAAAUCUCUGGGCAUGUUCUGGGCACCCCAGUGUCCUCUUCUCUUUGAAAUUGUUUUUUUUUUGUUUUCUUCCUAUAAUUUUAGAUUUCUUUUGUAUUUUUUCUUUUUUUUAUUUGGGGAUCCCUAAAAAUGGAUGCUAACAGUUAGAGUUAGCUGAGGUCAGGUCCAAACUCAACCCAUGUGUGACCUUUAAGGUCAGGAAACAUAAGGUGGACUGCCUUCUCUUGGAAAUAAAAUUGGACAAAGAAAAGUUGUCACCCUAUGGAAACCAUAAUUAAAGAAAGGUUCGGGGUUAAGGGGGACAAAGUCACCAGGUUUGGAAAAGAGUGGUUGAUAAAGUAAUCUAAAUUAACAAAAAAAAAAUAUAUGAACAUAAGAGAGAAUAAGGCUAGAGUUCUCAUUAAUCUGUUUAUUCUAAAGUACUUGUUUUAACCUAAAUACAAAGAGAUUAUAUAUAUGUUAAUCUAAAAAUAUUAUUCUACCUUUAAUAAAUGUAUUAUUUAACAUCUCUCCUCAAACUCACGAUGCGGCAGCUACAAGCAUCAAGAGUUUGCCAACUAGAAAACGAAAACGAGAAAUGAAAUGUGACUUGGUAAAGAAAUCUACAAUCUGCAAGGAAGAAGAAACAAACAACAAAGUAAUGGUGCCAUGCUUGAGACAAUGACGAGUAAGAUGACAAUCAAUCUCAAUGUACUUAGUUCGUUUAUGAAAAACCAAGUUGUGAGCAAUCUAAAUAGAACUUUGGUUGUCACAAUACAUAGGAGUGGGAUAAGAAAGUGAAACUCCCAUAUCCGCAAGUAACCAAUGUAACCAAACAAUCUUUUUGGUAGUAGAUGCCAUGAUUCGAUAUUCUGCUUCGGUUAAGGAUUGAGAAACAAUAGGUUAUUUCUUGCUCUUCCAAGAAAUAAGAGAAUCACUUAAAAAGAUACAGAAACCAGUAACAGACUUGUGAUUUGUGGGAUUACUAUCAGGUCAGCAUCAGAGUAUGAACGCAACUUCAAGGAAAAGGUGGAUGGAAGUAAAAGACUCUAAAAGACUGUACCCCAAAGAUAUCAGAAAAUACAAAGAAUAGUUGUUUAAUGAACAUUAGUAGGAGAAGCAACAAAUUGACUAACAACAUGAACAACAUAUGCAAUAUAUGGAUGAGUAAUGGUGAGAUAUACCAAGCUCCCAACAAUAGUAUGGUAUAAAGUAGGAUCUGUCAAAGGUAAACCAUUAGAAGAAAAAUACCAUGUGUUAACUUCAAUCGAAGUAUCUAAAGUCUUGUUAUCAAUAAGUCUAGCUCACUCAAGAAUAUCUGCAACAUAUUUCAACUAAGAAAGAAAGUAACCUCUGGGUGAGUAAGCUACCUCAACAGCCAGGAAGUAUCGAAGAUAACCCAAAUCCUUCAUUUCAAAUUGUCUAGCCAACUUUGUCUUCAAAACUGAGAUACCAUCAAUGUCAUCAUCAAUAAUAAUCAUGUCAUCAACAUACAAGAAUAAAAUGAUACGACUUGCAUCAGUGCCCUUAAUAAAAAAACAGAAUCAUGACUACUAGAAACAAAUCCAAGAGACGAGAUCACAACAGAAAAUUUCUCAAACCAAGCACGAGGUGCUUGUUUGAGACCAUAUAAUGUUUUCUUGAGCUUACAAACAUACCCAGAGUUAUGUAAAGCACCAGGAGGAGGCAUCAUAUAAACUUUUUUCUUGAAGAUCUCCAUUCAAGAAGGCAUUUUUAACAUCAAGUUGAGGGAUAUGCCACUGACGAACCGAAGCUACGAUAAUAAGAGUGCGAAUAGUAGUCAUUUUUGCAACAAUGGCAAAUGUCUCCUUAUAAUCCAUACCAUACUAUUGAGAGUAUCUUUUUAUAACCAACCUAGCUUUGUAUCGCUCAAGAGAUCCAUCAGAAUUAGUCUUGAUCUUAUAUACCCAAUGGCAACUAACAACACUCUUACCAGAAGGUAGAGGAACCAAAUCUCAAUUAUAUGUCUUAUAUAAAGUAGAAAGUUUCUCAUCCAUAGCUUAUUGCCAAAUAGGAUCAAGAAUUGCGUCUUUAUAGGAAGAGGGCUUAGAGAGAUAAUGAAUAGAAGCUAAAUCUGGUAACUUUGUGGACUUAUAAAUGUGUAUGGAUUGACGUAGAGGUGGAUCCACAAUCUUAGAUGAAGCUUGAGGGGUUGUAGAUGAUAAUGGAGCUUCAGGUAUGCCAUAGAGUAAAGUGUCAGUACCUGCAGAUUGAUUAGUAUAAAUUGGUCGAACAUGGGGAGGGGUAUCUGAGGUACUUAGAAUGUGAGAUGAUAAAUUAUCAGAAUUCUCAGAAAAAAAAAAUCUAUACGAAUAAGAUCAGGUCUAAUUAGAUUAUGAGUGGUGGAUGGAAUAGAAAAGAAAGGUAUAUGCUCGAGAAAGACAACAUGACGAGACAAAUAAAAUUUCUAAGUUAUUGGAUCAAAACAACGAUACCUCUUUUUACCUUCACCAUAACCCAUAAAGACACAAAUAGCAAACCAAGAGGACAACUUACUGUGUUCUACAUGAGGACAAAGAAUGAAACAAGUACAACCAAAAACUAUAAAUGAGGAAUAAUUAGGGACAUACCCAUAUAACUUUUCAAAAGAAGAUAAACCCAAAUUAUGAGAAGAUGAAAUUGUGUUAAUCAAACUUAUAGUAGUAAGGACAACUUCUCCCCAAAACUCACUAGGAACAAAAGUAGACAAUAAGAGAGAACAAACAGUUCGACAAUGUACCUAUGUUUUCUUUCAUCAUGUUCAUUUUACUCAGGAGUAUCUAUACGUGAAGUUUGGUGAAUGAUUUCAUCUAAGGCAAACAACUUACAAAAUUUACUACAGGUGUAUUCCCUACCCAAAUCACACAUAAAGCAUUUGAUUAUAGUAGAAUAUUGAGUUUUGACAAUAGCUCGAAAGGCUGUAUAUAUCUCAAAAAAGUCAGAACGAUAUUUCAUUAAAUAAACCUAGUAAUAACGAGUAUGAGCAUCAAUAAAUGAAAUAUAAUAUCGAGACCCUUCUUUAAUGGCAAUAAGAGAAGGUCCCCAUGUAUCAGAAUGAAUCAAGUCAAAUGGGGAAAAAGAAACAUAAAUACUUCAAUUCAAUGGUAAAGUGGAAAAAUUCACCAGUUUACAUCCUACUAUAAUCAGAAAUAUCAUAGGUUUGCAAAUUUCCUAAAGUUCUUGUGGAUGCCAAAAAUCUCAAACGAGAAGAUGAAACAUAACCUAGACGAGAAUGCUAUAAAUAAAAACUAGAAGAUGAAGGACUCAAACGAAAAGAAGAUAAAUAAAUAGUAGUGGUAGCAGCAGUGGUAACUGACACUUUUAACUCAUCAAAAAUAUAUAAUCCAUUCUUUCUAUGGCCUGUCGUAAUCAGCUUCUGAGACUACAGAUCCUGUACAUAACAAAAAGAAGAGGAAAAAUGACUAAAUAAUCACCCAAAUCAUAUAAUUGACCAACAAAAACAAGAUUCAAUCUGAGUUUUGGAAUAAAAUAAACAUUAGAGAGAGACAAGUGAGGUGUGACAAUAGAACCAACACCUACUAAGGGCAUGAGAUUGUCAUUAGCAGUCAUAACAAGAAUGGAGGGUGAAGGGGACAAAGAUGUAAAAGAUGAAGAAUCUAGAGACAUAUGAUGUGAAGCACUAGAAUCCAAGACCUAUUUUAAAUGUGACAUACCUGAGGAACUAUGAGGCAACUGACCUAUGAAAGGCGAAACAAACAUUGCUUUUGGCUGUUAGGAGAGAAACUUCUGAAAUUGCUCAGCUAGAGUACUAGGAUCAGUGAUAGAUCCUAUGAAGCUACUGCUGCAGUAUUGUGGUUUGGUGGUUUAUAACCCUAAGAUGAUCUAUGAGCAUUAGAUUAUGACUGACUGUCAGGCUUCCAAGCUUGAUUUUGUUGUUUCAACUUGGGACACUAAGCCUUAUAUUGACCUUUCUGCUUACAGAAACUACACUUGUCGAAGGCAAUCCUUGUAUAAGGCUUAUUUUGAUGAUUAAAGAAUGGUUUAGACGGUACUGCUGGUAUAGAGGGAUUCAAAGUAGAUAGAAUUCAUUUUUCAGAAUAAGACUAAAGACAUAUUUCUUCAGCCAAUAGCUCACUGACAACAGAGUCAAUAGAAGGCAAUGGAGAAUGAUGCACAAUUGAACCUCUAAGUCCUUCAAAAUCACUGUGAAGUGCUGUUAAAAACUGUAUCAAUCGUUGCUGCUCUCUACGAUCAAUAUAUGCGCCACAUGCCUUUAGUUCUGCUGAUUCUGUGACAACCAAUUGAUCUCAAAGAUUGUCAUAGCAGAAUAAAACUAUUUAAUACUCAUAUUCUUCUUAUAAAGAUCUCGUAUGUCAUUCUCUAAUUUAUAUUGCUUUGCAAAAUUUGAUUGCGUGAAUAACCUUUAUAGAUGAUCCUAAACCUCAUUUGUUGUCUCAUACUUUGCCAACUGCGUACCUAUGUAAUGCUCAACAGAAUUGUUGAUUCAAGUAAUAAUCUUUGCAUUGUUUGCUUCUCAUGUAUCUAUCAAAACAGCAUCCCCCUCCUUUGUAUUUUUGGGUAUCACAUAAGUUCCACUAACAUAUCCCCACAUCUUUUUACCUUUAAAAAAAUUUCUCAUUACAUAACUCCAAUACCAAUAAUUCUUUCCAUCCAACCUCACACUCACAAACUGAAGCAAAUCAUCUCUUUUAGUAGCCAUAAUCAACAAACAAAGAAAACCAUAAUGCAAAAGUAUCGAAAGACAAAGUACCAGAUUGCAGAAACUAAAUAGAUAUCGCAAAAACUAAACAAAUAUCCUCUUGAAGUUAUAGGAUUGCUCCAAGACACAAACAAAAAUUGCAGAAACUAAACACAAAUACCGAAUUGCAGAAACUGAAGGGAAGAUGAAAUACCAAAACAAUUGCAGAAACAGAACAUAAAUACCAAAUUGCAAAAGCAGAACCAAUAUCGCUCCAAAAAAAAUUAAAAGGCUCGUUCCAUAAAAUUAGCUCUAAUACCAUGUUAAAGAGUUGAGAAUAACAGAAUGACAUAGGUUGGCCUUAGCCAACCUUUCCUAUUUAUAUAUGUAGGGCAGAAUACGACAAUGACCGUAGGGAUUACAACAUUGGAAUAAUCCUACAUUAAUUUCCUAUUCAGGGAUAUGCAUGCUAUACAUUCUAUAAUAUGCCCCCUCAAGCUGAGGGUGGAGGAUCGACCCGAAGCUUGAACCUGAAAGCAGUAAAGGACGCAGCGGAAAGUGGUUUGGUGAAGACAUCAGCAAGUUGAUCCCGAGAAAGGAUAAAGCGGAUCUGAAUUUCCUUCUUCGCAACCCGGUCAUGGAUAAAAUGAUAAUCUACCUCAACAUGCUUAGUACGAGCAUGAAAGAUAGGAUUCGCAGAGAGAUAGGUCGCACCAAGAUUAUCACACCAAAUGGUAGGAGUAGAGACGGAGGGAACCUGCAGAUCUAUUAACAAAUAUUGAAGCCAGAUGACCUCAAUAGUACCAUCUGCUAAGGCUCUAUACUCAGCCUCAGUGGAGGAGCGGGCAACUGUACGUUGCUUGCUGGAUUUCCAUGAAAUCAGUGUCUGACCAAAGAAAACAAGAUAGCCACCCGUAGACUUGUGAUCAUCAAUACUACCAGCCCAAUCGACAUCUGUAAAACCAUGAAGAGCAAAAGAGGUACCUCGAGUGAUAUGAAAACCAUAGGAUGUCGUUCCUUUGAGGUAGUGGAGUAUGCGUUUAACAACAGCCCAAUGGGAAUCUGUAGGAGCAUGCAUGUACAGACAAACUCUGUUAACAGCAAAGCAGAUAUCUGGACGAGUGAAUGUAAGAUACUGAAGAGCACCCACAAUUUGAUGAAAUCGUGUGGGAUCAGAGAAUGGAUGAUCUGGCUGUAUAACAAGUUUGGAAGGAGAGACUGAAGUAUCAACGGGUUUGUAAGAAGUCAUACCAGCCCGAGUGAGGAUGUCAAGAAUAUAUUUGUGUUGGCGCAAUAUCAGACCCAUACCUGUAGACUGAACUUCAAUACCCAGAAAGUAGUGAACAUCACCUAAGUCACGAAGCUUGAAUUCGGAGCUUAGUAACUAGACUAGGCGAUGAAGCAUGGCAGAGUUGCGAAGAAUAUCAUCAACAUAGACUAGGAGAUAAAAGAUAUUGGUACCAUUAGAUAAGAUAAAUAGGGAGGUGUCAACCUUGGAGCCAAGGAAACCAAUAGAGAGUAAAAAAUCACUCAGACGAGUGUACCAUGCCCUUGGUGCCUGUUUUAAACCAUAUAAUGACUUGUGCAAUCUGCACACAUGAGAUGGAAAAGUAGGGUCAACAAAACCUAGAGGUUGUUUCAUGUAGACCUCUUCAGUAAGAACACCAUUGAGAAAGGCAUUAUGAAUAUCAAGCUGAUGAAUCUUCCAAUUACAGGAAACCGCAAUGGAAAAGACUAAUCUGACGGUGGCCUGUUUAAUAACUGUGCUGAAAGUUUCAGAAUAAUCAAAGCUUUCCUGUUGAGUAAAGCCUCUAGCAACUAGACGGGCUUUAUAACGUUUAAUGUUGCCAUCAAUACGACGUUUGAUGCGAUAUACCCAUCGGCUGCCCACAACAUUCAUCGAAGGAUGAAAGGGCACUAGGGACCAAGUGUGAUUGAAUUGCAAAGCCUUGAUCUCAUCACACAUAGCAUCAUGCCAAGCAACAUAUUUAUCUACAUCAGAAAAGGCAACAGGUUCAGAGGAAGGAGAGAGCAAUACCGGGUGGCAGCUGUAUCGGCUGUAGCAGAGGACACCAUAUUUGCGGUUUUGGGCUGCCGCGAUCUAAGGACCAUAGGGUGGCGGCUGAGCAACGGUGGUGAUGUACGAGAGGUAGGUGUCACAAAGGUGUCCUGAUGUAGUGGAUAAGCGAAGAGAUCAACCACCAGAUUCAGACCAAAGGAAGAAGCCGGGGAAGAAACUGCCGCAAGUAGAGGGCUGGCAGCAGAGACAGAGUCUGUAGAAACCGGGUGACUGGCAGAAUAAGAAGAAGCAGAGGAGGAACCAGAGGGUGUCCCAGUACUAGCAAAGACAUCGUGCUGAAGGGCAGGGAAAACUGAUCUGCAACCUGUACCUGCAACAGCAUGGUGAGAUAAAGAUGCAUAUGGUGAGCGGCAAGGGAAAGGUGGAGGCUGUGGUGUUUGGGUAGGGUGAAGGCAGGGCAGAGGCAGAGGCAGAGGCAGAGGCGAGAUGAGGGGUGGUAUGAUCGUGAACAAUAGGGAGUGGGUUAGAUUUGGGAGGAUGGUAACAGGAGAUGGUGUGUGGGUUUGAGCUGAGACCUGUGCAAUCUGUUCAGAUUUAUCAAACGAAAAAACAUGUUCAUGAAAACGGACAUGACGGGAGAUAUACAUGCGAUGAGAUUCAACGUCAAAACAUCGAUAACCAAGGUGAGAGGAACUGUAGCCAAAAAACACACAUGGAGAAGACCAAAAAUCCAAUUUAUGAUUAUUAUAGGGACGCAAAAAAAGGAAAACAAAGACAUCCAAAAGUACGCAAAAAAUGAUAAUCAAGAGACCGUUGAAACAAAUAAUCAAAUGGAGAUCGAUUAUCAAGAACAAUAGUAGGCAUGCGAUUAAUGAGAUAAACUGAAGUGUCAAAAGCGUAAUUCCAAAAAUGGAAUGGAGCUUUACAUUGGCCUAGAAGAGUAAGGCCGGUUUCCACAAUAUGCCUAUGACGUCUUUCUACUGUUCCAUUUUGUUCGUGAGUAUGAGGACAUAUCAGACGAUGAUGAAUACCAAUAGUCUGAAAGAAAGUGGAGAGUUUGCGAUAUUCACAGCCCCAAUAAGUUAGAAUAUAUUUUAUUUUUAAUGAAAAUUGACGUUCGACAAGAGUUUGAAAUUGAUGAAAAACAGAAUAAACAUCAGAUCUUGCAACAAGUGGAUAAUACCAUAUAUAUUUUGUGUGCGCAUCAAUAAAGAUAACAAAAUAAUGAUAACCAUCCGAAGAAAAAAGGAGAGCAGGACCCCACACAUCACUAAAAAUUAAUUCAAGCGGAGCAGAAGUUUUGUGACCAGUAGGUCUUAAAGACAAACACGAUGAUUUUCCUAAGGGACAACUUUGACAAUGAAAAUUAAGACGUUUGUUGUUAUAAAUGAUCUUAUUUUCCGAGACUAAAAAUUGAAAAAUGCGAGAGGUAGGAUGACCUAGGCGACGAUGCCACAAAUCAGCAGAAGCAGAGAUGCAGGGAGACCAAUAGGCUUAAGGAACUGACGGGAUGGAAGACCUGAACCUGGACAAAGUAUAGAGAACAUCUUUACUCUAUCCUAAGAGGAGUACUUCAUUGGUGUGGAGAUCCUUGACAUAAAACAAAAAGCAGGGGUUUCAUGAUUGCAGGAACAUGCAGGAUAUUAGAUAAAGUGAACGAACGAUGUGGGGUAUAUAGUUUUGUAUGGCCAAUAUGAGAUAUGGGAAGUCCCUUACCAUCACCAACAUGUAAAUUAUCAUUACCAUUGUAUGGUUCUGAAGCAGUCAAGGUUGCAAGGUCAGGUGUGACGUGUUGAUUUGCACCGGUGUCCAGAAACCAUUCAGCAGUACCUGCAGGAUUAUGCAGUGCCAGAUUAGCACUAUGCUACUGUCCAUAACCACGUUGCUGAAGUUGGGAGCACUGAGGAGUAGCAUGUCCGAAGGCUUGACAUAACUGGCAGCGGGAAUUGGAUCCCCUACUGCGCUGCCAAUUUCCCUGCCAGUUGAUGUGUCUGUUGUCAUUGCUGGGAGUGCUAUGGAAGCUAUGAAAGUCAGGCCUGGAAUUAGAAUUGCGAGACCCUCUGUGAUGGAACUGUUGAUGACGCCAGCUGCCAUGAGAACGACCCCUAUUACGUCCAAACUGAGCAGCAGGCUGACGGUCAGAGAGGAGAGCUGAAGGAGGGAUGUUUGGCGUGGGCAACAAGGGUGCAUGAAUUGCAGCAGACCCCAUAGACAAAUGAGAGGAUUUAUGAAUAAAUUCAUGAGUUAGCAGAUGACUAAGCAAAUCUGCAUAUGGUAGAGGAUCUGCCCUUGUAACAAGACUUGUCACUAAGUCUUUAAAUUCUCCGCGAAGGCCACGAAACACAUAUAGAUUGAAAUCGGCUAGCGAAAUAGGCCGGCCAGCAGCUGCUAGCUCAUCAAAUAAAGCCUUAGCUUUUUACAGAAAUUGAGUUACCGAAUCAUCACCUUGUCGAAGGUCUUGAAGAGAGCCAUGAAGUUGCAUAAUAUGGGAAUUGGAUGUAGAAGCUAGACCUUGCUCAAGUGUAUGCCAGACAGAACAUGAGGUUGGACAAUCAACAACAAGGUGAAGAACUUCCAUGGAUAGCGAAGAGAGCAGGGCAUUUAGAAUGAGUUGGUCCUGUUGUUUCCAAUGAAGAAAGUGUUGAGAUACUUGAAGAGAGACACCAUCGGCAACAAGAAUAUGUGGAGAGGGGCAGGAGUUUGAACCAUUAACAAAGCCGAAAACUCCUUGGCCUGAAAGAUACGGUUUCAUCUGCAUUCGCCAAUACAGAUAAUUGAUGUUUGUCAAUUUCAGAGAGAUGAUCUGAUGAGUGUGGGAGAGGGACACAAUUGCCAUGGUAGAAGCUGCAGCAGCUUCAGCAGAAAAGGACGGCAGCAGAGGAGCAUUAUUGGGGUUGAAGAGAGCAUGGCCAACAUCUGUAGGUUGUGGCCAUUGCAGAACUGAAGCUGAAGAAGAAGGUGGUGCUGUGGCAGGAGAGCAGGAUGGCACAACCGGUGCUGCUGUAGAGGAAGAGAUGGCUGCCAGCUGGGAAGGAUCCAUUGCAGAGAGGAGAAGAGGUGUUUUAGUUUAUUUAGGGCUCUGAUACCAAGUUGAGAAUAACAGAAUGACAUAGGUUAGCCUUAGCCAACCUUUCCUAUUUAUAUAUGUAGGCCAGAAUACGACAAUAACCAUAGGGAUUACAACAUUGGAAUAAUCCUACAUUAAUUUUCUAUUCAGAGAUAUACAUGCUAUACAUUCUAUAAUAUAAAGUAAUCCAAAUUAAUACAAAAGAAAUACGAAUAUAAGAGAGAAGGAAGUUAAAAUUCUCAUUAAUUUGUUUAUUGUAAAAUAUAUAUUUUUUAAUUUAAAUACAAAAAGAUUAUAUAUAGGUUAAACUAAAAUUACUAUUUUACCUUUAAUAAGUAAAAUAAUUUAUAUAUAUUAUUCAACCGUCCGGACGAUUAUCAUGUGACAGAGAAGGUUGAUCCACACCUAGAAAAGAAAAGAAAAGAAGCCGCCUGUGAAUGCCUUUUAGGUUAGAGUGAACAGUGGUGGCAUGUAAUAAAUAUCACCGAUUUGGACCAGUUGACACGUCGAUUGGGAGUUGCGGAAGUAAAUAAAAAGAAAGAAGUUGCCUUCUAAAGUACCAAGGAACAAGCAUGGCUUGCGUGAGGAGGCAGCUGCCAGCUUCCGGAUACACACAUUUAAACCCUAAGAUCAUGUAGAAGAUAACAAAAAUUGUAAAAGUUGGUACUUUUUUUUGUUCAGAAAAAAUCCAAUGCAAUUUUGAGGGCUUUCAUAUUGAAUUUGGAAAAUUUAAGUGAUCCAAAUAUUUUGCGUGCUAAUAAAAACUCAAUCCAAGUACAUUCCAAGUACAUUUUUUUUAAUAGAAAUUCACCUAUAAAAGACCCGUAUAUAUAUAUAUAUAUAUACACACAUGCAUGGGCUUGCAAGAGAUUUUUUCUUCCCUUGGAGAAAAGUCUUUCUACUAUUGGGACAAAGCGAGCAAUUUUUUACAGUAAGAUUAAAACACACAUUAUGAAAAGAUUAAAUUGACACUUGGUGAGUUAAUUGUUCUAUUUAUAGAAUCUAUUUUAAAAGAAGCAUAAACAGUUAAACAGAUUGAAAAAUAUAGAGUAGAGAUGAAAUUCAAAGGAUAAUCUGAAGUCAGAAAACAUGUCGAAAUUGUGGAUUUAUCGUCCAUAUCAAUAGUUAAUUGAAGAGUACUGUUAGGGCCACGAACAGCCGAGAAUGCCUGCAUUGCACACCUACGUCUCUCUUGAAGCCUCUAUAAAAAGGGAGGGUUAGCAUGGCAAUGGAAACCAUAAGUCCCUCGAAGCAUAUACACAUUACCAACUAGCUUGAUGGCUAUUCCUACUGGCUUGCUUUUAUUAGGAAUGCUCUUCCUAAUGUUCUCGUUUGCUUCUGCUCAGAUAGAGAUGCCAAGAGGUAUCACUGAGGACUUUGAUACGACUUGUAUCACUGAUCUUAAAUUCGGGUUAUCUCGUAAAUCCUUUCCGGGGGAUUUCAUAUUCGGGGCAGCGGCAUCCGCUUACCAGGUAUGAACCUUCGCUUAGCUUCCAGAGUUCCCUAAUGAUGCAGUAUACAUUUCUUUUUUAUUUGCUCUUGUUGGAUACAUUUCGCUUAGCUGCUGUAACUCAAGAGUUUUUGUAAAUCAAGAAUAAUACAUGCAGCACCAAAGUGCAGAAUCCACAUGGAGAGGAGCAGCAAACGGAAAAAUAAACGCACACACGAUAUUUUAUUUUUGGUAAAUUAGCGUGUAUUAUUCGUAAUCCUCUGAUAAUGCAAAUCUUUGUGAUGGUAUGCAGACCGAGGGUCAUGCAAACAAAAGUUGCAGAGGUCCGAGUAUAUGGGACACUUUUACUCAAGAUUUCCCAGGUAGUUCUCUCUCAUUUUCUAUGUGCGUGCCCAUGUUGUUACGAUAAAGAUGAAGGAGAAAGAGCUAAAGAAAGCUACCCUAUGGCUGGUUCUGGUUCAUUAAAUUGAAUUUCAGGGAUCAAUUUUCAAAAUUUAUUAUUUCUAUUACAUGUGCUCCCCCCCUUUAGCAUUUGCCUCUUUCAUCAGGCAAUUAUUGCUACGGGUGUCCUUUAAUUUUUUAAUUGAAUCUCAAUUUGAAAGCUAACCCUAUAGUUUUGUUUUAUUAUUAUUAUUAUUAUUAUUAUUAUUAUUAUACAUUUAUUGGAUUAUAAUAGAGGGAAGACAUUUGACAAAUUACGUUCAAACUAUGAAAGGAAGCCAAUAAAUAGUCCAGGUUGGCCUUUCCCAUUGUUUCUCGAAACUAAGAAUAUAUAUGCACAAGCAGGUUUGCUUCGGUCUAGACACAGUGUUUCUGAUAUAUAUAUAUAUAUAUAUAUAUAUAUAUAUAUAUAUAUAUAUAUAUAUAUAACAGCAAGCAAGAAAGACACGAUGUAUGGAGAUAUAUGACUUGGCUUUUGGCGGUCAAAGUUUAUAGCUUUUCAAACCUAUGUAUAGAAAUAUAAUUUUGAGUUUUUUGAAUUAAGAAACCAAAACAUUUAACCAAAUAUAGCUUUACUCUAUCAUUUUCUGGUUAAUUUGUCAACAUUUAUAUUUUUAUUUAAUUGAUGUUAAUUAAUACAGUAGCAUUAUGAUUAAAGGAUCGUAUCCAUAUAUCAAGGGAAUUUUAAUUAAAAGGUAAAUAAAAAAAAUUAUUUUUUCAUUUUUUAAUAUAUUUUUUUAAAAAAUCAUGAUAUAAUUAUAUCUAUACCAAAAAUAUUUAUUUUAUUAUAAAAUAAUAAAUUAAAAGAGAGAUAUUAAGCAACAAUAAUUAAAUUUACAGGAGGAAAGAUGAGACUAUCGUUUAUCAUUUCGUAAUCACAACAAUUGUGAUUAAGAAAAUUAAAUUUUUAUAUCUCAAUUAAAUUUAUAAUUUCAAAUCCAAUAUAGAUAAAAUGACGCAUAUUUUUCUUCUUUAUUACUUUAUAUAUUCUUAUAUUUCAAUCGAUUACACAUAUAUGAUAAUUAUUGUAUUAAUUAUGGUAAUGUUUUAUUAAUUUAAGAUAUAUAUGAAGUAUUACAUCUUUUUUAUUUUUAGAAUUGUCAUGGGGGCGAUUCAUAUCAUAUUCAUGCAUGUUCUGAAGCAUUGCUUCACAGAUCAAAAAGAUUUAAAAACAUAGAAAAAAACUUGGGCCGGAGAAAAAAAUAUAAGAACCCAAAACAUAAUAGAGGUGGAUCCCAUCAAGAACACUAAAUAAAUAAUAAAUAAAAUUGAGAGAGAUAAACCAUUAUACUUUGCAUGAAUGACUAAUAUGCAGUUGCAUCAAUGAUUUUUAUGAAAACAUUCAGAAAGGAUAGCUGAUGGCUGCAACGGAGACUUGGGAAUUGAUUUGUACAAUCGCUACGAGGUAUGAAUUUGAUGAAAAUGGAAUUUAAGUUGCCUUCUGGUAUGGCAUACCAAAAAAUGGAAUGCAUUUAUUACGUAAAAUUCAAAUUUGUUAAAAUCAAAUAGAUACAUUUUCAUUACUCAAAACUCAACUCAUAUAUGCAUGCAAAUUUCAAAUAAUGAACGUAAAUUUGCAUACUUUGUGACAGAGUGAUCUUGAAGAAAUGAAGGAUAUGAAUAUGGAUGCUUUCAGAUUCUCGAUCUCCUGGUCCAGAGUAAUUCCCAGUAAGUAUUUGUUGGUUGAUAUUUUCUUUUUACUUUCAAUUCUUAAAAAAAAUCUUGUGUGUUCAGGUGGGAAAAUAAGGGCAGGAGUGAACAAAGAUGGAAUUGAGUUUUACAACAAGCUAAUCGAUGCAACCAUAGCUAAAGGUUUAAAUCUUCUCCCUUUCCCUAGAAAUAUAAAUUUUUUUGCUGUAAGUCAUGCGUGCUGCUUGAUUCAUCAAAAUAUAUGGUUUGUUAAGAAAUAAUUUGCCAUGUAAAAAAAAAGAAAUGCAAAACUUGAUUUCAGAAGUUCUUAUCUUAGACCUUUUCUCAUGUUUUAUGCUACAACACAGGUUUACAGCCCUAUGCAACUCUCUUUCAUUGGGAUGUUCCUCAAGCACUUGAAGACAAGUACGGUGGCUUUCUCAGUGAUAAUAUUGUGUAAGUUGUCACCUAGCAUGCUGUAACAUACUGUGUUCCAUCAUUAUGCAUAUAUCAAGCUGCUAUUCUAAGGUUUUCUUUGCUUUUAUUUUUCUUAUACUGCAUUUUAUUCUAUUUAUGGUUUUUUGCCAUAGUAAGAUAUUGUGUAGUUUCUGUAUUACUCCCGCCAGGAUUUGGCGUUUAAAUAAUAUACACAUCUUUCAAAAAAAAAAAAAAAAGCUUAUUUAAUAAUUCACAAAGUGCAAAAAUUAGGGAAUCAAGUUGUUAUAGUGAAUUUUUUGUUCGUCUAAUUUAUAGGAGCGACUUCCGAGAUUUUGCUGAGCUUUGCUUCAAGGAAUUUGGUGACCGAGUGAAGUACUGGAUUACUUUGAAUGAGCCACAAAAGUUCACCGGUGAUGGCUACGAUUCAGGUCACUUUGCACCGGGCCGAUGUUCCAAGUGGGUGGAUGAAAAGUACUGCAUAAAUGGGAACUCUUCCACCGAGCCUUACAUAGUUGCCCAUAAUCUCCUCCUUUCCCAUGCAGCAGCAGUACAUACAUACUGGGAAAAGUAUCAGGUAUCCACUAAUUGCACGUUUUUAAUGGGUAGUGUAAAGUAUCUUUUAAUCCCCAUGAUCUUAGCUAUAUAAUUAGUCAAUCCCUUGAGUUCAAAUGCUAAAAAUUGAAUCCUAUUUUUAAUCCCCCUGCUAGUUUUGCCAGAAAAAGUAAUCAUUAUUUCUCACAAAUUUUCCAAUCUCAAGGGAUUGGAAAAAGAAAUCAGCAACAAACUCUUGUCGAUGAACUACUCUUGAAAAAAUGCAGGCAUCUCAAAAUGGGAAGAUUGGGGUAACACUCAAUGCCCGCUGGUUUGAACCGUACUCUAACAGUACAGAAGAUCGUAAUGCUGCCAAAAGAUCUCUUGAUUUCAUGCUUGGUUGGUAUGUAUUUCUCCAAACAUAAAUAAGUAGGCCUUAAAUUAUCUUCAUUAGCUAUUUCAAUAUAAUUAUGUGUAGAUUUUUUACUAACAUUUCACGUUUCUAGGUUCCUGAACCCUAUAACAUAUGGUGACUAUCCGAGCAGCAUGCGGGAAUUAGUCAAUGAUAGGCUACCAACAUUCUCUCCACUGGAUUCUAUAAAUCUCAAAGGAUCGUUGGACUUUGUUGGAUUGAAUUACUAUACUGCAUAUUAUGCAGCAAAUGCGAAUUCUUCUAGUCCAGACCCUCGUAGAUAUCAAACAGAUUCUAAUUGCAUUAUUACAGGUAUGCUCAUAAAAUGUAAUGAUAAUAUAUAUACAUAUAAGAGAACGAAAGAGGAAAAAGAGGAAAGAAUAUUUUCGUUUUAAUCUUGUUGCAUGGGACGAAAAACAUCAUUGUAGCCAUGGAUAAUUAUCACAGGUAUGCCACAGGUUCAUUCGUUAAUUUCUACAGACUAUGUUCCUAAAAGAAAUGAAGUUUUACUUACCUUGCCAAGGUUUCCCUUAAUUACUUCCAUCACUUAAAACAGAGAUUUUGUUUAAUUUGUACAUUUUCCACCAAAAAGCCGAGGAUCUAAUCCAAAAAAAAUUCUUCCAUAAGGUGGUUAAAUUUUACCCAUUAAUGUUUUUCAGGAGAACGAGAUGGCAAACCCAUCGGUCCACAGGUUUGUAUGCAAAUAAUACAAAUUUUCAAACUCUUUUUUUUUUUUACGGAAUUGAAACUAAAAAAUAUUCUUAUCACAAAUUGCAGGCUGGUGUAUCAUGGCAGUAUAUCUAUCCAGAGGGGUUGCAGUAUAUGUUGAAUCACAUCAAAGAUACAUACAAUAAUCCAGUAAUUUACAUCACUGAAAAUGGUAUUUGAAAGAACAAAACUUUUGGCUCUAUAAUUAAUUGAAGCUAGUCAAAGUUGUAAUGGCCAAACUCAUCAUCAAUUCUUGAUUCCAUUUCUUUCUUCUGUUCAGGCUACGGUGAAGUCGUUAAGACAGAUGUACAACUACAUCAUGGAACCGUGAUGGAUCUUCCAAGGGUAGAAUAUCAUUGUACUCAUCUUAGGAAUGUUGUAGCGUCUAUCAAGUGAGUUUACACUUUGGGAUUUUUUUUUCUUGCUUUGUUGUCUUAGUUACCGUGAGCAUGCACUUAAAUUCUGCUAUUACAAGACCAUACUGUUAACAUUUGAACUAAUUUUGGCAGAAAUCAUGGAGUUCAAGUCAAAGGUUAUUUUGUAUGGUCCUUUGCCGACAAUUUCGAAUUUACAGAUGGAUAUACCAUAGGAUUCGGUUUGUUGUACGUAAACCGUACGUCUAAUUUCACAAGAAUUGCGAAGCUCUCAUCACAUUGGUUUACAGAAUUCCUUGGGGACCAACCGGCUAAUCCAGUACCAUUAUAUUUCAAGCGAUUGAAUAUAGCUUGAUGGAAGAGAAAUUAAGUAUUUGGCCGCCAAUAUAAAUAAAUAAAUAAUCACUAGGAUAACUUUUAUCCAGUGAACUCGAUUCUAUGAAUUUUUCCUAAUUAAGUGUGUGAUGUAUUAUACUGUAUUGUUUCAAUAAAAACUUGGUUAUAUAUGUCACCAAGUUAAAUCUCAAUGUAAGAGCUCCAGCCUCGUGUUGUUCUAGUACUGAAAUGCUUUGUAUUUUAAUUUGAAAAGGCUGUGAAGUACUCUUACCGUACUAUUAUCUUAAUUAUGUUCUGUGGCUGUUUGUUUUUCUUUUUUUUUCGAUAGUAUUAUUAGUCAAUGGUAGCCAUGGCCAAAUCAAAACAAGUUGACAGUUUGUUAUAGAAGUAAGAAUAUUUGCAGAAAGAAAAAAUAGAGAUGCAUCAGUCCAGUCUCACGUCUUUUGUUGUUUGUCCAUUUACAAAUACCAACAGCAUUUCUGAGGAGAUCAUUACCUGUGUAAUUGAAAUGUUCUUCACAAUUCUUUAACCAUGUAGACAACCGGUGGAGGGUUAAAGAGAAGAAUGAUUCUAAAUCUAGUUGUAUAUCAUUGAAACCAAAUUAUUUAUGGUCAACCAGAUACUCCAAGCAAUACCAUACCAUAUGAGAGAAGUCUCCGUGCUAUCCUCUGAAAUCUACCAUUAACCAUUGCUGGCCAUUGAAACAGCAACUCAUCAACUCAUUUUGGAACACAACAAAGGACACCCGCCAUGAAAGAGAUUUUGUCCAUUUUUUCCAUGCAAAGUUGAUCAGAAGCAACAUAUGAUCUGAUGAUUCUAAUUCAGCUGCACAGAAAGCAAAGAAGCAUUGUUCCAAUGAUAGACGUCGACUGGAAAUAAAUGAUCUUGUACAUUGUCUGUUUUGAAGCCGGCAAUAUAAAGUUUCAUUUUGUGGUGGAGCUGCUUUGUUCCAAAUGCUUGAUUUAAAUGAGCAAGUUCUAUUAAACAUCAUUAAUCUAUCAAUCAGAGUACUGCAUGAUUUUAUAGUAAACUUGUCAUCGGCAGAUAUACCAGACUUUCACGUCUGAUUUCCUUUGAUGUUUUGUUGCUGUUAAAUGUGGCAGGCCUUUUGGAUGGUCUGUGACGCAUUCAACUUUAGUAAUUUACAAAUAUAGCUAUAAAAUACCUAAAAUUGAAAUGUUAUUGUUUGAAAGGCCAUACGCCAUGAAUCAUCUCUCCAUAUUCUUGAUCUAUUAUGAAUCUCAAAAACAUUAAUUAGCAAAGUUUAAUGAACUGUGUGAUUUUUUGAAUUCAUUAGAGACUAAUUUUGUUAUCAGUCUUUGAAUUGAAUGGUUACUUUAGUAAUCCUUGUUUACUUGAAUCAAGUUUGUGCUUUUUAUCGCUCCCCGAUGGACAUCACUUGCAGUAGCUCGAGAUUUGAAUCUGUUUUGGAAAAUGUACGGAAGAUGAGAAAAUUAAAGUCAGUAAUAUAAAAGAAUUAAAAAUUCUAAUAUUUACAUUGAUUCCAUAAAUUUAGAAACUAGGUUAGUUAUAUUCAAAGAGAAGGUAGACAUCACCCCUAACAUAUCCUUUCAGAUAAAAAGUUAUCAUUACUUGUUUUUUUUUCUAAAUUCAUUCCAUGUUAUAAUAUUCUAAGUUUAUUUGGAAUUUAUUUUGAAGGUUGGUGUUAGUUUCUAUUAUUCGUGAUUUAUUUUGAAGGUUGGUGUUUGUUUCUAUUAUUCGCGAUUUAUUUUGAAGGUUGAUGUCAGUUUCUAAAAAUUAGAAACACAUCAAAAAAUUAACAUCAAUCUCUAAAAUAGAAAACUCAUAAAAAUAAUAUUGAUGUUCAUUCCUAAAAAGGAAUCUUCAUUGAAAUUGCUAAAAAUAGGCGCAACCCGUAUUUGAUUUUAAAAUCAUAACAUCAAUCUCUUUUUUUAAAAAAAGAAGUAUAAAAAAUGAUGUUUAUCCCUAAAAAAAAAGAUUUCAUCAAGGUUGUUAAAAGAAUAGGUAUUGAACAUAUAAGGAUAAUAAAAAUUAGGCUCUGGACCCCAUUUUGUCUUAUAGGUCCUUAAAAGUUUUUGUUGUUAUCUAUUUUUAGGACCUAUAUAAACAAAAAAAUCAUUAAAAAAUGGAAAAAAAAUACAACAAAAAAUAUUAGAAGAAAAUAAUAUAUAUAUAUAUAUAUAUAUAUAUAUAUAUAUAUAUAUAUAUAUAUAUAUAUAUAUAUAUAUAUAUAUAUCAGUGAGAAGAGUAUACCAGAACGCUUAAGAAAUCGCCCAAGACUGGUUGAUAAAGUUCAAAUAUAUAAGAUUGAAAAAUUUAACAGUGUAUAUUGGCAAAGAAAAUUCAUUUUAAGAAGGAAAAUUCAAAAUUGAAUGUUUAAGGACUCAAUUAGAAAAUUACAAGAAAAAAUGAUUUUUAAAAUUAAUUUAGGCUUUAAUUUGAAGAAAUUGAAGUUUGGGGAUCGAAUUGCAAUUUUUAGGAGUUAAUUUAGUCAAAUCAAGGGCUUAAUUGCAUAAAUAUUGAAGUUUGAUGGGUAAUUAGGGACUUGAUUGAAGAAAUCCAAAACCACCCAAAAUGAAAAAAGAAAGUGUAAAUAUAGGGGCUGAAAUUAACCAAAUCAGAGGCUAAAUUGAAAAAAUUGAAAGUUUGGUGGUCAAUUAAGGGUUAAAAUACAUAAAUUCAUAACCAAUGACCAAAAUGAAAAAUGAGUCUAAUUUAAGGGCUGACAAUUGAGUUUGGCGGAAGUGAAAUUCCUUGAAAUUAAAAGUUUGAAAGCAAUUAUGGAUGAAAUUAAAAUAAAUUGGAAGAAUAGAGGCUCAAUUGAAAUUGUCCAAUCCCAAAUCAAAAAAUCUAAACGACACAUCGUUCAAACUUAAAAAAAUGUGUUAGUGGCAUGUCGUUCGGUCAAUUGAUCUCUAUUUUUAAUAAUUUUAUUUGAUUGAGUUGAGAACUUUAAAAGUAUAAAUAUAAAGCUACAUAAUUCCAAAUUAAGAAUAAUUUGAUUUAAAUAAAAAAGUACAUUCCAACUACCCAUUUCAGGUUGUGUUUGGCGAUGAUAACAUCAGAAUUGGUUCUACGGGGCUUGAAAUUGGGCAUGAUGUACACAAUAAAUCAAUUAUUUAUCAUGACAAAAUCCCAGGUACAACAAGUCUAGAUACAUCGUCACCAAUACUAAGUACUAUUAUAACGUCUAGAUACAAUUGCAGAAGAAUGGUGAAAUGUAUAACAUGUCUUAGAUAUAAAGGGAGGGAUAGCAUGAGAAUUGAAACCAUAAAUCCCUCAAACCAUUCACAUUAGUAUCUAGCCAAAUGGCAAUUCAUCUUGGCUGGAUUUUUUCAGGAAUGCUCCUCCUAGUAAGCUCGUUUGCUUCUGCCAAGCUAGUGAUGCCAAACAACAUUAUGGACUUAAAUGUUCCUUUUGCCACUAAUUUUUUCAACCGUAAAUCCUUUCCAAGUGAUUUCAUAUUUGGGACAGCCUCGUCUUCUUACCAGGUAGCUAGAUCGAUUGAAUCUUUAACUCGAGUUACUAGUUACAUGAACACUAGUGCUAUAACAUGUCUAGAUACAUCGUCAUGAACACUAGUGCUAUAACAUGUCUAGAUUCAAUUGCAGUGGAAUGCUAAUAUGUGUAGCAUGUCUAGAUACAUAGUGACGCACACUACUGCAAUAACAUGUCUAGAUACAAUAAUAAUAGAAUGCUGAUCUUACUUAAUAUUAUCCUACUAGUAAAACAUGUCUAUUUACAUGGUAAACUUACAGUGAAUAAAAAACUUAUGGAUGGCGUUUGAGACAAUAUAAAGUUUUUAAACCCAUACCAAACAUAAUUUUAGUACAGGAAAUAUAUACAAUUGUAGUAGAAUGAUCAUAAUGCUCAAUACAAAUAGCCAAUUAGUUAUAAACCAAGCUUAAAUAUAGCUACAAAGCUAAUGCUAUUCGGAUUCAGGAAUUUAGAGCUAGCAUGUAUCAAAAUUUGAAUCCUGAACUGAUUAUGCAAAUCUGUGUUUAUGGUAUCAAGUACGAGGGUGAUGCAAACGAAAGUUGCAGAGGUCGGAGCAUAUGGGACACUUUUACUCAAGAAUUCCCAGGUAUUUGUCUCGCCCAUUCUCUGUGUGCAUGCGUGCGUUAUUAAUUAAGAUGAAGAUGAUGAUGAUGAAGAAAGACCAAAAAUAGCUUGUUGUCUUUCUACACUAUAUGUCAAAAUAGGUCUGGUUCGGGUUCAUUAAAUUUUGAUUUCAGAGAUGAAUUUUCAAAUUUUAGUGUUUCAAUUACUUGCGAUUUCUCCCUUUGGCUUUUGCCUCUUUGAAUCGGGUAAUUUGCUAAGGACAAGUGAUUCAACUUUUUUUAAAUCUAUAUUCUCUUACAGAUAUUUUCAACGAAAGCUUGUUGUCUUUCUACACUAUAUAUCAAAAUAUAGUUUUGAUUUUACGAAUGAAGAAGCUAAAUUAAACAGUAACUAAAUAGAACUUUACUCCACCAUGUUUCUGAUUAAUUUCUUAAUUUUUUAUUUUAUUUAAAUGAUGUUAAUUAAUACAGUAGCAUGAUCAUUAAAUGAUCAUAUUCUGAUCAUUUCAAGGGAAUUUAAAUAAAAAGACUUUAUAUUACUAUUACAUUUAGACCAAAAGUAUAUAUAUAUACACACACACACAAACACAUUAAUGUACAGCUCCAUCAAUCAUUUUUAUGAAAACAUUCAGAAAGAAUAGCUGAUGGCAGCAACGGAGAGAUGGGAAUUGAUUUUUACCAUCGCUACCAGGUAUAUAUCAAUUUGAUGAUAAUGUAAUUGUAACAUAGAGUUUCUUGGAUGGAUAUGGAUACUUCUACUAAUGGACGUGAAUGUCCAUACCGUGUCGACAGAGUGAUCUUCAGACAGUGAAGGACAUGAAUAUGGAUUCUUUCAGAUUCUCUAUCUCUUGGUCGAGAGUAAUUCCCAGUAAGUAUGAUAUAAGAACAGUGAUGGUGUGCUUUUUAUUUAUUUAUUUGCUGAUAAUUUUUACUUUUACUUUUCUCUAAAACAAAAAUCUAAUGAUAUUCAGGUGGGAAAAUAAGGGCAGGAGUGAACAGAGAUGGAAUUGAGUUUUACAACAAGCUCAUCAAUGCCACCAUAGCUAAACGUUUAAAUCUUCUCCCUCUCCCUAGAAAUAUAUAUAUAAAAUCUUGUUGUUAGUCAUCCGUGCUGCUUGAUUCUUCAAAAUAGUUUGCUGAGAAAUAGUUUUCCAAGUGAAAAAGAAAAGCAAAAUUUUAUUUGAGAAGUUAUUAUCUAAAACCCUCUCUCAUAUUUUAUGCUAUAACACAGGUUUACAGCCUUUUGUAACUAUCUUUCAUUGGGAUACUCCUCAAGCACUCGAAGACAUGUACGGCGGCUUUCUAAGUGAUAAUAUUGUGUAAGUUAUCACAUUUUUUUGUUCCAACAUUAAAUACAUAUAUCAAAAUAGAAGCCAAGCAUUUUUAUUUGUAAAAAUAGGAUAUGGAAUUGUAACAUAGAAUUUUUUGUUCUUCUGAUUAAUUUAUAGGAACGAUUUUCGAGAUUUUGCUGAGCUUUGCUUCCAGGAAUUUGGUGACCGAGUGAAGUACUGGAUUACUAUAAAUGAGCCACACAAAUACUCCAGUGACGGCUAUGAUUCAGGUCAAUUUGCACCUGGCAGAUGUUCCAAAUGGGUGGAUGAAAAGUACUGCAAACAUGGAAACUCUGCCACGGAACCUUACCUAGUUGCCCAUAAUCUCCUCCUUUCUCAUGUAGCAGCAGCAGAUACAUACAAGAAAAGGUAUCAGGUAUCCACUAAAUGCACAUUUUUAAUGGAUAAACUAUUAUUUAAUCCCUAUGAUAUUAGCGAAAUAAUUAGUCUAUCCCUUGUGUUUAAGGCAUAAAUAUUGAAUCCUAUUAUUAAUCCUUGUGUUAGUUUUGCGUGAAAAUUUAAUCAUUGUCUUUCUUAAUUCUUUUCUUCGCCUGUAGUAAAAUCUUCUAAUUUCACCAACUACAUUUAUAAAAGAACUAACAAUCAACUCUUGUCAAUAGACUACAAAUGUUUUUUAGGCCCGUUUAUUUACAUGCCUAAGAAUUAUUUUGGAAAGUAGUUUUCAUGUAAAAUAAAUUAUUUUUUUGGUAUAUAAUAAUGUCAUGUGAGUUGUAAAAUAUUUUCCAGUAUUUGGUUAUAUAAUAAAAAAUAAGCUGGAAAAAUAACUUAUUAAUGUUUUAAUUUUUUUUCAAAUUUAUUAAUAAAACGAGGAAUAAAUCUUACAGAUAAAAAAGUUGAAGGAUGAUGAAAUUAAAAAAAAAAUCUAAUUCCAUAAAUUAUUUCAAAUAAAAUAAAUAAAGUGGAGAUUAGAUCUCACAGAUAAAAAAGUUGAAAGAUAAUGAAAUUAAAACAAAUACAAUUUGAUAAAUUAUUUCAAAAAACAUCAUAAAUUAUUUCAAAUAAAAUAAAUAACAAUAAAAAAUAAGAAUUAGAACUUAUAGAUAAAAAAUUCAAUUAAAAAAAUGAUAAGAGAAAAAUAUAAUAAUCAAAAGAAUAAGGAAAUCAAUUGAAAUUAAAUUUUAAAUGAUGAGAUUGAAAAAAAAAAGGAUUCAAAAGAAAAUAUAUAUUGCAAUCAAAAGAUUAAAGACCAAAUUGAAUAUAAUAAAAAAAUAAUAAGAUUUAUCUGAAUUUUUCACAACUUCUGUAAAGUGUUUUCCGUCUAAAAUAAAAAGAAAACACUUUUUAGGAAACGAAUAUAAUUUUUUCUUUGACAGUAAAUUGUUUUUUAUUAACUAAUUUUUCUAAUGACAAACAAACAUAUAAAAGUUUGAAAAGUGAUUUUUAAAAAACUAUUUUUCAUGAAACAAAUCGGGCUUAAAACUAGAAAAACUAACUUACAAAAUUGUAAAACAUACAUGAAUCAAAUCAUAAUUUACAAUUAAUGAAUUUUACGGGAUGUGUAGAAAAUUAAAAUAAUAUAUGUAUGUAUCACUUUGUUUGUUGAAAUGCAGGCUUCUCAAAAUGGGAUGAUUGGGAUAACACUCAAUGCUCGUUGGUAUGAACCAUACUCUAACAGUACAGAAGAUUAUGAAGCUGCAAAAAGAACUCUUGAUUUCAUGCUUGGUUGGUAUGUAGUUCUCCAAAUAUAUGCUAGUAGCUAGCUAGGCCUUCUGUUAUUUUCAUUAUAUGCUUUAAUAACAUUAUCUGUAUAUUUUUUACAAUUUUUCACGCUUCUAUAUAGGUUCAUGAACCCUUUGACAUAUGGUGACUAUCCAAGCAACAUGCGGGAAUUGGUUCAAGAUAGAUUACCAAAAUUCUCUCCACUGGAUUCUAUUUUUCUCAAAGGAUCAUUAGACUUUGUUGGAUUAAAUUACUAUACUGCAUAUUAUGCAGCAAAUGCCAAUUCUUCCGAUCCAGAUCAUCGCAGAUAUCAAACAGAUUGUAAUUCCAACAUUACAGGUAAGAAUUUUGUUGUUUUAGUCUUGCUAAGGCACAAAAUGGUGCAUUGUAGCCAUGAACCAUAGCCACAAGAAAUGUCAGGUUACGUUUUGCUUAAAAAAAUGAUCUCCCAGGCUGAGGUGGUUAUGAUAUAAUUUUACCCCGUUGUUCUCUUCAUAUUUUUCAGGAGAACGAAAUGGGAUCCUCAUCGGUCCAAAGGUUUGUAUGCAAAUUAUACAUAAUUUACAUAGCUUUUUUUCGAUACUUGAGAUUGAGGAAAAAUCUUUAUUAUAUUACGCUGGAUUUGUUACAAAUUACAGGCUGGUGCGCCAUGGCAGUAUAUCUAUCCAGAGGGGAUACGAUAUCUUUUGAAUCACAUAAAAGACAAAUACCAAAAUCCAAUAAUUUACAUAACUGAGAAUGGUAUUAAAAUAAACUCUGCACAUUCUAAUGGAAAGUUAGUAAAAUUUUAAUGGUCGAAUUCAUAGAUUCUUGUUUCUUUCAAGGGUACAGUGACUUCCUUGGUGCUGAUGUAUCAGAAGCGAAAGUCUUGGAUGAUCAUCCUAGAAUAGAAUUCCAUUUUAACCAUCUUCGGAAUGUUCUACAAUCUAUCAAGUGAGUUUACCUAUUGCAUGCGUGGUUAAACGAUUUUAAUUCCUUUGUUGCCUUUAAUUAAGAUGAACAUAUAUAAACUUAAAAUCGGCUGCUAACCGAAAAAGUUUCUGGUGGUUCAAAUAAUGAUUUAGAUAAACUAUUAGACCAAACUGUUUAACAUUGGAGCUCAUUUUUGCAGAGACCAUGGAGUUCAAGUCAAAGGCUACUUUGCAUGGUCUUUCGCCGACGACUUCGAAUUUAUAGAUGGAUUUACCAUAGGAUUUGGUUUGGUGCAAGUAAACCGUUCAUCUGGUUUCUCAAGAAAGGGGAAGCGCUCAGCAUCCUGGUUUUCGGAAUUCCUUGCGGACAAAUGGGCUGAUCCAAAGGUAUAAUUCAAGCGAUUAAGAAUAGCUUGAUGGAUCAGAAAGUGUUUGACCAAUAUAUACGGGACUAUUUAUAUAUACUAGUGUUGUAUAUUAGUGUGUAUAUAUAUCAGAAAGUUUAAGAGAUUCUAUGUGGGUUCUUCCCAUGCAACCAUUGACUAUCUUAUGCAAGCCUCCCUCCACAAAACCAUCUGGUAGUAUGUAUGGCUUCAGAGUUAUGCCGAGAUUAUGAGGAGUGGAAAGGGCUACAGUUGGAUUUUUUUUUUUUUUUUUUUUUUAUAAUCAUCCAGAAUAUAUUGAAAAGGUUAUAAAAUUAAUAGUCAAAGCAAAAUAUAGAAACAUUAAAAAAAAAAUACACGUAGAGAAACAGAAAGAGAGAAAAAAAACUAAUCUACUACAAAAAAAAAAUAACUAAUGUUACAAUAGAAACAAAGAAACUACCUAAGAUUUUUUAUUACACCAUAAUUUGAUGUCAUCAAAAGAUCUUAAGAGGUCAUUUCCUGCAUAAGUGAAGUUUUAAUCCAGAGUAAGCAACCUGAUGAAAGAUGUUGGAGAAAUAAUCAAACAAGCUUAUAGUUCCCUCCUAAGAAACAAUAUUGUUCCUCAACAACCAAAUACCCCAAGUAGUACUACUGGAGAUUAGUCUCCAAGCUAACCUUUGGAAUUUGCCUUGCCUCAUUUCGGACCACUGCAAAAGCAGCGAGUCUAGUGUGCUCGGUAAACAACAUUGGAUACCCCACCAAUCCAAAACUUUCAUCCAAACACUUCUAGAAAAGUUACAAUGUGUAAAAAGGUGCUCUGAAGUUUUCAAAUCUGAGUUGCAAAAGACACACGAAACUUGAGUGGCAGGCAAAACAUUCCGGUGAUGGAGAAAAGCUCUUGUACUAACUUUGUCCUAGACUGUCAACCAAAGAAACACUUGAACUUUCGGAGAGGCCCUUUUAAUCUAGACGUUGGCUUCAAAAACUUUAGCAUUAGCAAAAGAGGUAUUAUCAAUUAAGGUACAACAAGACUUAACUAAGAAGUUUCCAUCAGAAUUACACAGCCAUAUGAUUUUGUUAUUUUUUUCAUGCUGAAUUAUCAUUGGCUCCAGCAUCGAUAGCAAUUGAUGAUAUUGCUACUCUUCAUAAGAUAAGAGGUUUCUACGUCAAACCAAAUUCCUUCGCCAAUGAUCAUUCACCCAUUGACCCAUCUCAUGAACCAAACUAUUUUGAAUAGCAGAAACUUUGUAAAGCCUAGGGAAAAUGCUACGCAAAGCAUUUGAUCCUAUCCACACAUCAAACCAAAAGAGAAUGGAGAACCCAUCACCAAUCAUGAAUUUAAUGUUUUGAUGCAAUACUGAGUUGAUAACACUGUUUGGAUCCAAGAUUGACAAAAUAUCUUUUCAAAAUGGGGAAAUAUGACCAUGCAAUUUUGGGAUUCCAAAGGCAUGCCCAGAUAAGAGCAAGGCAAGGAACCAAAUCUGCAAAAGAUUGAAGAUGACAUACUAGCACAAGCAUCUUCCCCAACAUUUAUACCAAUUAAAGAGCUUUUAUGGAAGUUAAUAUGCAAACCUGAACAAAUAGCGAACCACAGAAGAAUCCUUUGAACUGUUUUAACCAUGUGAAGAUUAGCAUGCAUGAAAAUUAGAGUGUCAUCUGCAUAUUGCAGAUGACUGAGGCAAAAGUUGUCUCCAAAAAGAAUACCUUUGAAAAGAUCAGUUGUAGUUGUUCUCUGAAACAAAACAAAUAACCUCUUUGCUGCAAUUAGAAAAAGGAAUGGAGAAAGGGGGCUACCUUGACGAAUCCCACGACCUAUCAAGAAUUCCUUAGAAGGAGAUUCAUUAAUCAGCACUAAUAAUUUUGUGGUGGACAUGCAAGUGUUGAUCAAAUUAAUCAAUUUUUCACCAAAACUCAUAUACCUCAUAACCUGCUCUAAAUAAUCACACUAGACACUGUCGAAAGCUUUGUGAAAAUCCACCUUAAAGAUAAAGCUCGACACCCUGCAUCUUUCAAGAAAUAAACUGCUUCAUUAGCAACCAAAAACCCAUCAAUUAUUUGCCUCCCUGCCAAGAAAGUUGUUUGAUUCUCACUGAUAAGGUUAUGCAUAACCUUUUUCAGACGACUAGAAAGAACCUUAGCCACUAUUUUGUAAACGUUGUGAAUCAAACUAAUAGGUCUGAACUCUUUGAAGCCAACCAGGGAAAUUGUCUUCAAAAUUAGAUGAACAUAAGUAUGAUUGACUCCUUUUGGAAGACUACCUGUUUUGAAAAAAAUUCUUGGCCAGAUCUAACAAAUCAUCUGCAAUGAAAUCCCAAGCAAGCUUGUAGAAUUUGAAAUUGAAACCAUCUGAACCAAGACUCUUGCUCCCAUCAUAGUCCCAAACACUAUGCUUCAAUUCUUCCAAAGUGAUAUCUCGCUCCAAACUAGUUGAAGAAGAAGUCGUAACUGUUUUAAAACCAACGGGCCCUAAACCAUUUCGGAAUCUAUCAAGGCUUCUAAAUAAGUUGGAGAAGUAGCUAACUUUUGCAUCUUUGAUGAUCGUAAACCUUCAACAACAAAACCAUUAUGAACCACUUUCAGGAUAUGGUUUUUAGCCCUCUUGAAGUUAGCAACUAGAUGGAAGAAACGAGUGUUGUGAUCACCUCGGCGACACAAACUUGGUGAGACUUUUGCCACCACAUGCUUUCUAUACUCAAGUUACAUUGAAAAACCAAUCUCUUUAAAUAACUCUGUAACUUGGUUUCAAAUAAAAAACAAACCUUUAUAUCAAAAUCCCUGAUUAACUUUGAAAUCGUCCUCUUCUUUCUAGCUAACCCCAAACCACAAGAAUUCCAUGAAAGAAUCUGCAUAAGAAAAGUGAUUUAAAAUCCUUACCUAACAAGGAGGAACAGCUGCUCACUGAGAUGCUUCCCAAUUAGCCUUCUCUUUAUGCCUUUGUUGUUUUAUAUAAGAUGUGAAGUCAUCUAAGUUGUGAGGUUUUGCAAUCUGCAAAGCCUCCCCUAUUUCUAGCAUUAAACGAACCUCAUCACCCUCAGAAGCUUCAUUGUUUUCGCCAUGUGCUAGCAAGUUAGUCCUGUUACACAUCCGAAUUGCUGAGUCCUCAGUAUCCAUCUCAUUCUUGUUAAUUGUUUCAUUCAAACUCCCGUCAGCUGUAAUCAGCUUUGUACAUCGCAGCUUCAUUCCUUUUUUUGGCAGAUAGAACAGUGACACUCUCUUUUGUGUUUGUUUCAGGGUGUAAAAUAACACAAUGAUUCAUGUGCUGAGGUUCUGAAAUUAUAAGUCUUGAGGAUCAUAUGUUGAUUGAAAGGCUAAAUCAUAGUUUGAUCCAGAUGAAAUUAAGAGGAUGUCAAAUGGGCUUUGAAAUCCACUGUCCACAUGAGAAUGAAGGUUUUGUCCAUAAACUGGACUCUUAAACUCGGCCUACACAAAGGAGUCAAGGCCGAAUCCAGCUGCAGUUGCAUCGUGAUUCAUGAAUGGUUAUUUAUACUAGGUUCUGAUUUAUUAUAAUUAUUAUUUUUAUUUUUAUUUUGGAAUUUGUACAUGUUAUUCAUCUGUAGCAUUAAUAAUAAGAUAUCAAAAGAUCUGCUUGUAGCCUGUAUACAUAGUACAAUUUUGUGAAACAAAAUGUUGUAAAAAAGAAGACUACUUAUGUAAAAGAAUGUUGGCAAGUGAAACAGCUCAAGUUUAAUAAUACGAAAAGAAGUAUGAAACUAAAAUCUUGUGCACGAAACACCUCAAUCAGCCAAUUAAAGCAGUACGAAAUUUUAAUAAUGAGUGGUAUAACGCCCUAGUCUCGGGGGGAGGGAUUUGGUGUCUAAUUGAAGUUAAGCCUCUUGUCCUCACUAUCUAAAAAAAAUACCCCUUGUUGCAUAUAGUUUUAGUAAUCAUUCCUUUCAUCUUAUUCAAUUUUUUAGAAAAAAUAAAGAGCUUAUAUAAGGAUCCUAAAGUAUUGUAUAAUAUUUCUGCAAAACAAAUUCAAGAAAGAAUCCUUGAUCAAGUCAAAGAAGGCUCCAAUAAAUCCAAAUCAAUAAAUAAGUUAUCCUCAAGUCAUGAUACCAAGGAGAAAUUUGACCCUACAAUUAGGAAACGCUAAGAAAUCCUACAGUCAUGUAAGUAAUUUCUACACCUUAAGAUAAAUCACGUAUUAGAAUGAGAUUAUUUUGAGUAAGUCACUCAUAAGAAUGAAACCAUCUUAGGUAUUUUUAUUUUUAUUUUUUAAUAUUUCAAAAAUUAGAAAAAAAAUCUAAAUUUUUUUCUUUUCAAUAAAUUUAGUUAAUUUUAACAAUUUCAUUACUUUUGUCAUUUUUAUGUGUUAAAAAAUCAUAAAAAAUACAAAACAAAAAAAAUAGUUAUGGUUGAAAUUGGGCCAAUGAUUAAGCAUUACAGGAAAAAAUGAAGGUUGAGAAUUUAUUAGGCUACAAUUAAGGGUUCUAAAUUGGAAAAAAAAUUAAGAAAAUGAAUUCAUUUAAUUUAAUUUGGCUAAGAGUAAAAAAAUUUCAAUUUCAAGGAUGAUUUAAAAAAAAUAUAGUUAAGUUAUCAAUCAAUGAAGAGCUUAAUGAAGAAGAAAAUCAAAAUUUAAUUGCACAAUUUUGAGAAUGAAAAAUAAAUUUCCAACAAGUGAUUUACUUCAAUUAAGACAAAUUCAAUUGAAAUUACAUGAAUUUGAGAAACAAGGAUAAUUAAAAAGAUUUGAUUUAGGGAUUAAAUUGAGAGAGACUUCAAGAUUUAACCCUAUUUGAGUAAACUUAGAAACAAUCAAAAUUCAAGGACUGUAAUGAAAAAGGGGAAACACUCCAAUGACCAAAUGGCUAUUUAUAUAACUUCAUUUCAGUCCCAUUUGUCUCAAUCCAGUCCAAUUCAAUCCAAUUAAGUCCAAUUGAAUUGAUUUAAUUCAAUUUAGUCCCAAAUUAAUUCCAGACAAUUAAACCAGAGAUAGCAAUCUCCCAUUUAUAGCUCUUCAAAACCAAAUUUCUGAGCAAUUAAACCGAAGAUCCUCGCAAUUAAAUCCAGAAUCACAAUCCCUCAAUUUUGGCUUCUCAAAUGCUAGACAUUCAGUCAAGAUUCCAGCUUCAAAAUCCCUUAAUCACAACCCAAAUUAUCUCCAAUCCAAUCUCAAUAAAUCAAGCCUCCAAAUCAUUCAAAACUUCAGCCUUUUCUCUCCAUAAAAAGCAAGGAAUUCCACAAGAAAGGGGGAGGGGAAGAACCAGCCUCUGAUUCCAGAAAGACAGCACAAAACAAAACCUCCCAAGCACCCAGGACGCAACCAAGGACAAAGCCUCCCAUACCCAUAAAAACAAAAACCACGCAACUGCCUCAAGUCACCCACACCAAAAUCAAACCGAAAUUUCAAGCCAUUCUAGUCCCAAACCAAAAACCCGUGGUCAUUGAUUCACCACCAUACACUGUCACCUAAUCCAAUUUCUUCCAAGAACACCAUUGUCUUCCUCAUCAACUUCCAAGACCAGCAAACCAAAACCAUUAUAACCUGUCAUCUUCCUUACCCUCCAUUAACCCGAAACAAGCAACACCAGAGAAAGCAUCAAGAAUUUCAUCCACUAUUCCUCACAACUGAAUACCAAAAUUUUUUCCAGUAUCUCUUCCAACCAAAAACCAAUUUCCUACCCUUCACCAACUCAGCUCCAUAGAAGCACCACAAAGCAUCACAGAGCGAUUGUUUCUCCAAGAUCAAUUCCAUUCAUAACCUUCCACACCAUUUUCUUAUUCACCCAUAAUAGACGAACAACAACCUCCAUCUUCAAACCCGCCACCCACAGUCAGCUCAGCCCUCUUCAUCGACACGACGCACAACAAACCCACACCAUCACAUCCCGAACCAAUUCAACUCGAACAACCUAUCUCUAACCAUCAUUCUUCACAUCCUUCAGUCUUGAAACAACCCAGUAAGAGCACCACCGUGAAGCCGCCACCACUAAAAACCAAAACCCACAGAAAUUAAUCGAAGCCGAUCCGCUAUAAAACCUCAACAAAUCAUCCAAACAAAAAAUGAAAGUGUUACCUUUUUCUCCUUAAAUACCCACGAAAGUAACCCCAACCACCCUCAAAUACCCACGGUUGUAACCCAUAACAAACCCAAGAAACAACCCUCACCUUAGCCAUCAAACUUGGCACACCACACUGACACCUACUCUCAUAGCCCGUCAGCCCAUCUAUCCUCCAAACCCAUAGCCCAAAUACAACUUAGCUUUUUCUCUCUAAACCCGAAGACAACAACCCAACAAACCCAAUUGAUUGAAUCUGGGUCCAUAGCCAAGAAACCACCUUGAAACAAACCAUAAAUCUACCCUCAUCCACCGUGGGUUUCUCCUCUAGACAAAACCUCACUUAUACCCGAAGCAUUGGUUAAGGAAGGAAGAGGAGAAGAGUUUGUUUUGGAGCUUUUCUUCGCAGUUUAUUAUUCCCCUCAUUUAUGCAGGCUUUUAAUAUAGGCCCGUGUAACACACGCGCGUCACAGUCCAGAGAAUCUAAUCCGCCAGUGCGUGAGCCACACUCUCACCACGUGUCCUAGUGGUAUUUUCCAAUAAUUUUUUGGUGUUUUUCGACAAAAAAAAAAUCAAUCUCAAACCCAAGUAAAUAUUUCUGUUAUUUUUAUGUUUAAAUUUUGUAUAUAUUAAUAAUUUUAUGCUCUUGUUUUAUUGUAAAAAUAUAAUUUUUUUUGUUCAGCAGUGAUAUUCUUAUAGAAAAAACAAUGAAUAAAACAAAAUUAUAGAAUUGUAAGAAAAAUAAUAAAAUAAAAUUGUCAUUUAUCAUUCCGCAAUAUUUUCUUAGCAUCCGAUUUAGUAGUUUGAGCUAGGUCAAUGUGAUCCCAAUAAAGCUUAUACAAUAAUGGCAUUGUUUUGGAUUUUAUUUUUGUAGAUUUCAAAUGAGAGAUAUCUACCUCUCAUGUAACAUUAAGGCUUAAUCUUGAUUGUAAUUGAAUUCCUUAAUGGCACAAAAACAUGAGAAAACAUGCGUUUAAUUUGUCAGCUACAAUCAUGGUGCGAGAAAUCAGGGUUUAAGUCUUAUAAUCCACUUCAAAUUUUAGGUCAAAUAUAUUUUCUCAGUCAGCCUUUAAUUAAGAACCACAGCCCAACCUUUCCAUUCUUAUGCAAGAUUCAAUUUUUAAAAUUUGAUCCUUUCUCCAUGACUCAAGCAAAGAGGAAUCAAUGGCUAAUACCUAAGUUGAUUUCUAUUACUAUCUUCAAGGAUUUGAUACUAAAAAAACUGGUGAUUUUUUUUCUUAAAAGGAUAACACUAACCAACAAACAAAAAAAAAAAAGGUAAGGGAACUGUCGCCUGUGGACAUACGACAUUAGGGGAUAGUGGAAGUUACCACCUAGUUGUGUCGCUAGGAAACUCGGGUGUACUAGUCUUAUUAGAAAUUCAAGGGGUAAAGGACUGAUUGUGGUUAGAAAAGGUAUUAACAAAUCUACUGCACCUUACCUAAAGUAAGCUGUAUUAUAUGAAUUGAAUGUGGUUUAAAGAUUUUGAUGAGUUCCUAACUCUACAACGGAAAUUUACUGAGUGACGACCAUUGUGUCACCCAUAAGUCCUGAACUUAAGAUGCUUUAAGGAGGGCUUGCCUUAAUGCAAAACAAUGUAUAGGGAGUAUACACUCUAAAUGCAAGUUAUAAUCAUUUUACGUGAGACGGGGGGUAGGUUCACUACUUAGUUUAAAAAAAGAUCUCUCAUUGUUCUAGUGAUCGUCUUCAUGAAGGCAAUAAGAGGGCUCGGUAGGUAAUGAGAUGACAUGUAUAUUAGUUACUACCAGUCCAAGAACUUAGCAAAGAGUUAGAUGAUUUCAUAAGCUUAAACCUCGACUAAAAUUCAUAGGGUAAGAUGCUACUCCCCCCACAUAACUUAAAGUUUCUAUGUGCUCAUCUCAUAGCGAUAUAUUGCAAAUAAACUAAUGAUGCAUGAAAACAUACAUGCAUAGACAUGAUAAAAUAUGCUAAAUCAUAAAUAAAAUAAAAUAAGCCAAAUGAAAAAAAAAAUGUGAACACAUCAAAACAACUAAACCAUAUAAAACACACAAAGUUUAGUCCAAUACUAUUAGAAGCAAUACCUUAUCAAGUGGAGUUGUCAUUCUAUUGCACGUGGACGCAUGACGUUGAGAGGUCGUGAAAGUCGUCACCUAAUUAUUUGAUUUAGGGUUACUAGAAAACCCGAGUGUAAUGGACUUAUCAGAAAUUCAAAGGUUAAGGGACUGCUCGUGGCUAGAAAAUGUAUUAGCUUCUUUAGUACACCCUACUUGAAAUAAGAUGCAUUAUGUUGUUUGAAUUUGGUUUAAAGAUUUUGAUGGGUUUCUAAUUGGUGGUAUGCUUAUGACAUAUGAUAGGAAUUUAUUCCAGUGAAUAAAUUUUAGCAUUUCGAAUUUAUUAUAAGCUCGUGUACCCAAAUUAAUUUUUAUGGAGAGGGAUCCAUGUAGAUAUCUUGAAAUGGUUCACCUAUCCUUAAAGACGGAAGUGUUUUCCACAACUUGUGUGUUGUGGCGAUAAAUACUCCCAAUUAAAAUUAAUGAAUUUUCCAGUCAAUUUCUGAUAUUUAAAUAUCAGCCUAUUUGUAGGUCCAAUAUUUAUACUAGAAUAUUGACCAUUAAUUCUCAUAAAUUAAAAUUUUAGAGAUUAUUAAAAUAUUGACAAAAUUCUCAUGAAUUCAGUAAAAUGGUAAUUAAAUUCAAAAUGCAUGCAAAUAUAUAUUCUUUGAAUUUUGCAUAAAAAUACUAAAAUACCAUGUAUUUUAUUUUAUUUAAGCAAAAUAUGUUUUUAUUUUUAUUUUGAGAGACUUGUCCAUAUGCAAAUAAAACAUUUUGUUAAUUAGUUUUUUUUCUUCUUUUUAUCUAUCCCUUUUUUUAUCAUUUAUUUAACACAAAGUAAAAGGGCAAUAAAAAGAAAAUAAACAUACACACACAUUCUCUAUUUUACUAUAUUUUACUUACACACCUAAUUACACAUAUCUACAAAGCACCAAUAAUUCAAAUUCAAAUAAUAAUUUAAAAAUACAUAUUAAACAUCUAAAAUUAUAAAAUAGAUCUUCCCAAGAUAAAAAUAAUAUGGAGAAGUUGUUGAAACUUGAGGACAGUACUGAAAGAUUCCAGGGGCUGGGCGAAUAGUGAUAACGAGUGGAACCACGUGCCUCUCCCACUGCUGGUGUGUGGAACCAGGCGCCUCCACAGGUAAAACUAGAAAUAUAGGUGGAUUUGAAGUGGUUAGUCCUCUUCUUCCUCCCUAGCUGGUGGUGAAAGUCAACGUUACCAGCAAAACGAGGAAAAACACACAAACAAUUGCUUUUACUUACGUUUCUAUUUCUUUAGAAUUGAUUCUUUCUUCCUCUCGGUUUGUUGGUUGCUGUUCAAUGGAGUAGCUGGAUUGUGAUGGUCAACGGUGCAGCUGAAGGACAAUCGUUAGUGUUACUAGAUGUGUGGGCUAUUGUUGAUGAGGACGACUAUGUUGGGAGCUGCUAGUGGUGUAGGACGUCAUGGAUUUGUUUUGAUGGGGAAUGAGUAGAUGACCGAGAGGGAGGGUUGUUAAUUACUUGUGUUUUGGAAAGGGAGAGGCUGUGGUCAGCGGUGCUGUUGGUAGUGAUAAGGAAAAGCUAGAGCUGCCGUGAGUUUUGGAAGGGAAAUGAGCUGUGGAUGGUGGUUCUUGUGGUUGUUGAGGGGCUGGCGUCUGGUGGUUGGGGAGUCGAACUGGUCUACAAUAAUUUUGCUCAUAAAGGGAGAGGGAGAGGAAAAUGGGUUUACAGCCCACAGUGUUUUUCUCUCUGGUCUACAAUAAUUUUGCCCAUAACUUAGUUGUUCUGUUCAUUUUUCGCCCCCUCCACACCCCUGUUGACUCUGCCCUGACGAAAUUAGGCUAACAUAAAGAAAUUAUUACAUAAACUAAGUUCAUCACAUCACAUGAGGCAUAAACUAAAUUAAUAAACAUGGGACAUACAGGGUAAAAUACAGAGAUUUUUGUUGAUCAUGAUGCAAUUCACAUAAUUUUAUCUAUGUCUUCUAUUUAUUAGUAUAGCCUGCAAGUGAUAUGGUAAAUUUAGCAUGUGUAAACAUUUCUCGUCUAACCUAACCUAGCACGUUCUUAUUUCAUUUUAUUUUAUAUUUUUUAGAUUAAAUUAAGCUCUCUUACGUUGAAUAUUGAAAACGAGUAUGAAUAUUGCUACAACGGUCUAACUGUCUAGCAGAGGCUUAAUUUUCAAUAGGAAGUGACGAGUUAAAGACUUUCAUGUCUUAAAUUUUUUUCUCGAUGCAGAUUGCAGAAGGUAAACAGAAGUUGUGAUGAACUUUCUAAGUAUGUGCUGGCGUUCAAAGCAAUCACAAAAAAGAGAUAUUACUCGAGACGAGGGGUCACCUGUGUUUUGGCUAUUAGUCAAAGCAGCCACAAACCAAGAAACUUCGUAUUUCCUUGCACAGCACUGUCCAAGCAAACUUCCAAAUAUUUGCUCACUAUAAAUUGAUAGCAUUCCCUUGAAAAUCAUCAAGAAACUCCCACUUAACAUUUUUCAGCAAAAGAAAGUUAACUAGUUGGCCUACAGUGUCUUCACCAAUACUACUUCAUCGAAAACUGUUUUAGAUAACAAGAGAAAGCAAGAAAUGGGUCAUUUCUCAGCCAUUUUCAGUUGCUUUGUUCCAUCGGCUUCUUCAAGGGUUAUAGAUGAAGCCCAUAAGAAGGCAGAGAUUCCUAAAAGCAAAUCAAAAUCAUCAGGUGCUCCAAUCGUAGUUUCUUACUUCCCCAUGAACUCAUAUCUCUCUCGCUUGUAGCAAAUUCCAUUCCAGGAAGAUGAAGAAAGGCCAUGUGAUUGUUUAUGCAGCUCAGCAUAUGGCGGGAGCCUGUGCGGUUCUGAUUUAUUUUUUUUAUUUUUUUAUGGAUAUGUUAUUUUAUUUGUUGCAAUAGCUAGGUAUUGCAAGAAUUGCUUAUCCUGUAAAGAAAACAAAGGAUGAAUACAAAAUCAUAUAUAAUUUUGUCCCGAAGUAAGAGUAAAAUUUAUGGAGUCCACCUCUCAAAUCAUUCACCCAUUAAAUUUAUUUGCAAAAUCUUAAUCCUACAGAUCCUGCACACCCCUAGGAACUUGCAAGCUUACAUCUAGUUCUUUUUUUUUUUUAUAAUAAUUAUUAAUAUCAUGCUAGCCAUUUAGAGGAUGGCGAUCAUGAAAAUUUAUAGUUUUUACAUGAAAAGUCAUAACUAAAAGAAAAGAAAACGAAGAUUGAUAAAACAAAAAUGCCUACACCGUACUAAUAAUCAGCAUGGUAUUUUGUCAUUUGUUCAUCUAUGAAUGUAAUCAGCACUUGAAGAUCAUUACUCGUGUAAGAGAAAUGUUCUUCACAAUUGUAUAACCAUGCAGAUAACCGAUGCAGGGUUAAAGAAAAACAAGACUCAGAUUUUGUCAAAUAUCAUUGAAAACUAAAUUAUUUUUGUUAAUCAGAUAUUUCAAGUAAUAUCAUAUGAGAGUAGUUUCCAAGUUUUCCUCUCAAACCUUGUAUUUACCAUCAUUUGCUAUUAAACCAGCAGUUCAUCAGGUGUGUUUAGAGCACACCAAAAGACCCCACCAUGAAAUUAAUUUUGUCCAUUGUUUUCAUGCAAAUUGGAAUUGUAUUAAUACAUGAUCUGACGUCUCUAAUUCAGAUGUACAGAGGUCUCUAAUGUAAGUGCUUACAUCUGGGAAUUAGAAAAUGACAAGUGCAUCAUAAAACACGUUCAAAUACUUUUCUAAGAGAAUUAAUUUAGAUCAAUUGGACUUUGUCAUGAAAACAAGACUCAGCUGGAUAACAGACAAUGUUUCAAGCAAAUAAACAUCUCUUUCUGACACGCAAUUUGAAAGCAAAUAUAUGCUCCAGAGUCAACGUUCAAAAAAAGGCAUAGGUAACGAUUAUCUACCAUUGUUUCAAAAGCCGAAGGGACACAAUAACCAUAGUAUAAAAUAAGUUCGGACUGUUCCCAUGCUUUUGUAAUAUAUACGCAACCAAGACUUGGACACAUUAAAUUAUUAGUAGAUAUAUAUCAAGAUCUUCCUUGCUCUGCAAGCUCGAAAUAUAAUAAUCUUCCCCUUAUAAGUGUCACUAGUCAUUGUGGCCGAAAGCAGCCACUGAAAAUUGGUUUUCCUUUCUUUGCAAGUAAACAUAAACUUCUCUCAUACGCUUCAUUUUUUUCUCAUUAUAAAUAGCCAAUUCUUUUGCGUUUCAAUUCAUCAACUUAGAUUCCAACGUGCCUUCUCUAAGCUUGUUUUUUCCCUCUCGUUGCCCUCUUACUAGGUAUUCCUAACUGUUAAGCUAAAAAAAAACACCAAGUGCCUCUCUUCACGGAGAAAGAAACGUCAAGCUAGCAAUACAAAGCCACAAUGGCUAAGUUCUCAGCAAUUUUCAGCUGCUUUGAUACCUCUUUUUCCUCACGAGUCUCCAAUGACAACGUUUCAGUUCCGGAAGUAAAAGCGCCCAAAUCAGAGAAGUCAAAGGGAAAAUCAAAAUCAUCAGGAGCUCCCAUUGUAGUUUCUUACUUCCCUGUUAAUUCAUAUCCAUCUCGCUUGUAGUAAUUUUGCCAACAAAAUCAGAUGUAAUUACUUAUAUCUCCAGCCCUGGGAAACUAUAUCAUUCACUCACUUAGGUUGAUGAUGCAUCAUUGUGAAGUGGAAAGGAUAAAGAUGAAAGCAAUUCCUUUAUUAAUGUUCUUUGAUUGCUAGCUUCAUGAUCUGAGAUUUGAUGAACAGGGUUUUGUAAUUCUCAUAAAAUUUUAUUUUUGUAAUUGUGAAAUUGAUCAAAUAAUUUAUUUAAAUUGAUCAUAUUAUUUCUAUCUAGUUACUUGCAGCCCACAACUUAGUUAUAUGGUCAACUAAGUCACAAUAUUCCCCCUAAAAAUAACACAAUGUUGGAGAAUUAAUUCGAGGGCAACAUCAAAAUUUUAGCCCAGGUCGAUGGUUUGGAUUUCAUCCCAAAGAUAAAACAAUGAUCACUUUAUUCCAUGCAUCAGAUUUUGAGGACUAAAACGUGGAGAAUAUAUACGAAGAGUAAAAACUUAUCUUUUUAAGGGUUUCGAAAUUUCGGAUGUCUAUUUGUAGAUAAAAAAUCUUGAGGUACAUUCCCAUCCAUGUGCAAGUUGUAAGAAAAUAUCUCAUACUAAAACAAUAAAAGAAAAACAACCAAGUAGUUUAUAUGCAAGAACGAAACCAACACCUAAUAAUUUAGAUUUUUUGGUAAAGAUGAUGUCUAUUCAUUAAUCUAAGCCCUCGACUGUCCAUGGCCUCAAAAUCUUCAUUUUAGAGCCGAUAAGGUGAAGAAUUAAGAUACUUGAUUUUUCACUCUUGACAUAAAUCUUAAAUUAUUUUUUUAUUAAACUUCUGGAAAUUAUCAAUAACUAUUGCUCAUGAUAAUUCAGAUAAAAAAAUAAUGUCUUUUUUCAAGAAAUAUUCAGACAACCUUCUAAUUUGUUUAUGUCUUAGGUAAAUAUAGGCGUAAGAAGUUGCUUCAACCAUCUUUAUAAAAUAACUAUGGUAACAAAAUCCUUUUGUCUACGUGGAUCUUUAGCACUGGCUUAAAUAUGCAAAAAUAUCAUCCCUGUUUUGUUUCAACAUCUAUUCAUAUAAAAAUAUUACUAUAUGGCAUCCAUAUAUUUAUAAUUUUUUUUUAAUCGACAAACAUAAGUCCUUUACUUAUAGAACAUAUAUGCUCUAGAAAAAAAAAAAAAAUUUGCCCCCUUACACUCCUGUUAGGCUAUGGUUAUUUGGGAUUAUUAUAUAGAAUAAGAUCAUGUUUGCAGCUGCAGAUGAAUCGUUUUUUCAAUAAAUUUUGAAUUAUUUUUACUUUAAAUUAAAUUUUUUUAAUAUUUUUAAAUCGCUUUAAAAUGUUGAUAUUUUUCAUAAUCUAUUUUUGGGUUAUUCUCCAAUGUACAUUUUUUCUCUCUUCAAAAAAAUACAAAAAAAUCAAAAACUAUUAUAAAAAAAUAUAACAGUGAAAAGAAGAUGCCAGAACGCCCUAAAAAUGGUCACAAAUUGGUUGAGAAGGUUCAAAAAUUCAAAAAAUAAAAUUUGACAGUAUUUUGUUGACUUAUGAGAGCCCUGUUGACAAAAAAAAUUCAAUUUGAGGAAGAAAAGUCCAAAACCAUAUGUUUAUGGACUCAAUUAAAUUUUAUCGAAGGUUUAAUUGAAUUUAUGGAGGGUUUGAUUGCAAGAGAAAUUGAUUUUGAAAUCAAUUUAGGCUUUAACUGGAAGAAAUUAAAGUUCUGGGGUCAAAUUAUAAUUUUUGAGAGUUAAUUUGGUCAAAUCAGGGACUACAUUGCAUAAAUAUUGAAGUUUGAUGGCCAAUUAGGGACUUAAUUGAAGAAAUUCGAAACCAAAGACCAAAAUGAAAAACGAGCGUAAAUAGAGGGGCUGUAAUUAAACUUUUUGUCUUUCACUCUGCACACGGAAUUCAGGGACCAAAUUGAAGAAAUUAGGAGUUUAUCACUCAAUUCAGUGUCAAAUUGUAUAAAUUCAAGACCAAGGAUCUAAGUGAAAAAGGCGGCCAACUUCAGAGUCGCUGUUUGAUAUUUGGUAGGGAUGCAAUUGCAUUGAUUUUUAAAUCAAAAUUGCAAUUUAGGACUUGAUUGGAGAAAUCACAAAUUGAGGACUGAUUUGUACUUUGACAUAAGUUUGGCGCCGUUUUCAUUUAAAUGAAAUGGCGCGUUUUUGCUAAAAUGGUGUCGUUUCAUACACUGUUAAAAAAAAGAGCUCAAAACGGUGCCGUUUUGAACGGCACUAUAGCCUUUCUUCUUCCCCUGGACGCGCAGAAAACAGGGGAAGAAGAAAGUUUUGUUCCCCUGUUUUCACCGUCUUUUCUUCCUCCUUUUAGUUCAAAAAGACGCCGACCAAAGACCUUAUUUUGCUCAGCUGACCCGUGGCCUCCCACGUGUUGGAGAAACGGAGGAGACGUGCCUCCUCGGGCAAUCGUGGGGCGGCAACACAGUGGCCGCCCCAGCCAUGUCUCUCCCUUGUUUUCCUAUAAAUACAGGGGAGACGAGGCAGAGCAGAAAAGGAGGAAUAGAGAGAAAAAAAACGAAGAGGAAAAAAAAUGGGAGAGCAAAGAGAGAGAAACGAAGAGAAAAGAGGGGGAGAGAAGGAAAGAAAAAAAACAGAGAGAGGAAGAGAGAAGGAAAACAAAAACGAGAAGAAAAAACAGAGAAAAAGAAAGAUUAAAAAAACAGAGGAGGAGCUGCCACCAACACCACUACCGUCUGGAACCACCACCACCGCUGGCCAUCACUGACAACCGAGGCUUCUCCAGGUAAACCCUCCACCCCUCUUGCUUUCGUUUCUUCCCUUGCCAUGCAGGACGUGCACGGUACACGUCUUUGCAGGUGAGAUAAAGCUGGUUAUUGUGCUCAUACACAGUAACCAGCUGAUGUGGGCUGGGCUCAUGGAUCUUGGGCCGAGUCCAGUCCAGCCCAACAAUAGUGGGCCGGGUCCAGCCCAGCAAAAAAUAUAUAUAUUUUUAACAUUUUGUGAUUUUCCAACGUUUUGUUUUACGCUAUUUUGUUUAAAUAUCGGUCUGUAUUUUAUGUCGUAAAAAAUACAAAUCCGUUAUUAAAAUACCCGAUUUUUGUCAACUUAAAAUGUUUUUUGAUAAAAUGUUUUUGUGCAUAUGGCUAAGUGUCUCAAAGCUAAAAAAAUCAUAUUGUGUUUUUCAUACACCAAAAAAAUAAUGUUUUAGCAUGCAUUUUGGCUUUAAUAACCAGUUUAUUAAAGUCAAGAGAACAUUGGCCAAAAUAUCAAAAACAAAAAAAAAUUAUUUUGUGUUGUUUUAGUAUCAGGGAUUACGAAUUUAUACGUAAAACGUAUUUCCGAUAUUAAAACGGUAUUUUCUUUUGACAACAUAGAACAGUUAGGUUUUUACCCGAUAAGAUAAGGAUCUCGGACUUUUCUUAAACCGUAGACAGACCAACAAUUAGAAACCACAACAAGACUUUAGAUUUUAUCAGACAACAAAACAAUGCAGUUUACCUUAGGUAGGACGUAGUUGGGGUGCUAAUACCUUCCCUUUACGCAACCAGUCUCCGUACCCGAUCUCUGAGACCAGUUAGGGUUUCUAGUGACCAGAAUACUAGGUGGCGACUCCCAUUCAAAUUUUCUACUGAUAAGAGACAAGAAUUCCUUGUCUCUUCACAUUUUCCAGAUAGACCUAUACAUUUUCCUUGAGAGGGUGGACGAUCGCCACGACGCCGCACACGUGCGACAAUCAUCUUGGGAUAUUUGAAAAACGAUUAACCGGUGAUCUUUAGAAACAUGAUCGACUUGGGAUCUUUAGAAAAUUAUUGACUAGGAAUCUUUUUUGGUAAAUGAUAAACUUGGGAUCUUUUGAAAUAUGAUCGUUUGAGGAUGUUUUGGAAUAUGAUCUUUUUGGGAUAUUUGAUAAACAAUUUUUGAGGAUGUUUUGGAAUAUGAUCUUUUUGGGAUAUUUGAUAAACAAUUUAAAAACUUAGACUAUGGCCAAAGAAGGUGAUCAAACUUGGCUCAGGAUUUGUGAACUUCCUCUUGUCACCUCAAACCCUUAUCUUUGAUUGCAGAUAUGAUUAUGAUAGUAGGCUCAUUUUCUACUCAAACUCUAUUUUGAAUAAGCAAUGUGGUUAUGAACCUUUUAGAUCUUUUCUUUGUUGUUUCUUUAUAACUCUAUGUUGAAGCUUCAUUUGCUUCUUGGAUUACCCUUAACAUUCAUUUCCACCUUUUUCUUUUUACUAUCGUCUUUCAUCAUAACUCCCUUUGCUAUUUUUCUAGCAAUCUCAUAGAUGAUCCAAAUACACUUCAAACUCAAAUAAACUCAUUUUCUAUUUUUUUUUCUUUAAUGUUGUUCUUGUUCAUUAGUUUUAUUUAAUUAAUAUUAGAGUUGGUUAUGCAGUUAACAAAAAUAAAAGACUAUUUUUAAGGAAAUAUGACUAAUUAAGAAUCAAGGAAAAAGAUUAAUUAAGAGAAACAAGGAAUAAAACAAAAUAAUCAUUUUGAAAAUUCUUUGGCCAAAAUUUUAAGUUCUUUAUUGCAUUAAAUUCAAGCAUAAUAUUUACUUACAACAUGUGAAUUUACAAGCUUACAACUCCAUUCCUUCAACAUUUGACAAAAUAAGAGCUCCUAUUAAAAAUGUCUUCUUGACUAUAUAAAUGCCUUCAUAACUUAGCGUGUAUUUUCUUUGAUCUUCACCAGGAAUUUGAAAAACCUUAUUCAAAAUCAAAUCUCCUUCCUGAAAAACUCUUGGAAGCACUUUUUUUAUUGUAAGCCUAACAAUCCUUUUUUGAUACAACUUUCCAAUGCAAAUCAAAGUCAAUCUCUUUUUAUUGAUCAAAUUCAACUACUUAUAUCAUAUUCUAACACAUUCUAACUUUUCUAAUUCAAUUUCUUUCAACAACCUUAAAUAAGGUAUCUCCACUUUGAGAGGUAAAACCGCUUUCAUUCUAUAUACCGAUCGAGUAAAUAGUUACUCAUGUCGAUGUUUUUAUAGCAAUUUGUUAUCCAUGAAAUCCAUAUGAAAGCAUUUCAUGCUAGUCUUUAUACGUGAUCAUUAUUUUCUGUAUAAUCUUCUUUAUAUUGUUGUUCGCCGCUUCUACUCUACCAUUCAUCUUAAGCCGAUAAGGCGAAGAAUUAAGAUGCUUGAUUUUCCACUUCUAGCAUAAUUCUUGAAUCAUCUUUCCAUUAAAAUUAUGGGCAUUAUAAAAAACUAUUACUCGCAUCGUAUUCUGGCACGUUCUGACUCUUCUAAUUGAGCUUCUUUCAACACUCUUUAAAGAGGGUAUCUCUACUUUGAGAGGUAAAACCGUUUUCAUUCCAUAUACCAAGGAGUAAGGAGUUAUUCUUGUUGAUGUUUUUAUAGAAGUUUGAUAUCAUGUAAUGUAUUUUUUAAUUUAUACCAUGGAAUAAGGAGUUAUCCUCUGAUCAUUGAUUAACAUUUCUAUGUAACUCGUAAUUAACUACAUGAAGAUUGUUCAUUACAGGUACCUGUAUAUAUUGCAGAAAUAACACCUAAAAAUAUUAGAGGUCGAUUUGUAGUGACUCUUCAGGUAAACGUGUUUGGUAUUGUGAUGCACGAUGUUUUUUAAAAAUGUUUUUCAAUUAAGAUCAUGUUAAAAAAAAUGUUUUUUCAUAUUUGUUUUUAUUCUUGAUGUUAGAACCAUCCAGAAAACCUAAAAAAAACAUCAAUUAUUUUUCGAGCGAAAAAUAAUUUGAGGCCAUCAAUGUCUUCUUUCAUUUCCUUCUUUUUCAAUGACUUUACUCUUCAUGUUUGCAGUUGAUGAACUGUUCUGGCCUCUUGGUAGUUUUUUUCCUUGGAAACUUUUUUUCAUGGCGCACCGUGUCUCUAUUAGGUAAUGUUUCACAAUUUGAUUUAAUUAAUUAUUUCAUCAUCGAAGGAGUUUUAUUUCUAAAAUGAUUAAGCAUUUUAUCAUUGUUAAUUUACUUGUGCCUAAAUCUUGUUGAAUCCCAGCUAUAAUUCCAUGUUUAAUGCAAGUUGUCGGUUUAGUCUUCAUACCAGAGUCUCCAAGAUGGCUAGUGAGUUCCUUUUGUGAUCACACACACAUAUUUUCCCAUUUUGAGACAGUAAAGGUAAUCUAAGUGUUUGCUGCUAUAGGCAUCAAUUGGCAAGGAAAUAGAGUUUGAAGAUGCUUUGCGACGGCUUAGAGGAGUGGAUGCCGGUUUUUCUCAAGAAGCUAUUGAAAUCAAAGUAAUAUUUCUUGUCUUAAAAAUCUAGAUUGUAUUAAAGUAUCUUUUGUUAUUGUUUUUUUUUUGGUUUGAUCGGCUUUUAGCCUCAUGUUUUCUUCCUACCUCUGUUUUUCUCCUUCACUUUCUUAUUACUCUUCAAGGAACUAUAUAAACUCUUCAUAUGAUUCAUCUAAACAUAAAGUGAUUUUCUGGAAAUAUUAUCCUUCAUGAUUUUGAGGCUUGUUUUAGUAAUUUGAGUGGGUUAACAAUUGUUGUUAGCCAUUGUUAAGGGGAAGAUAAUGAUGUACAAUUGAGGGAUGAAAUUGAAAAAAUUAUUUUGUUUUAGGCAACAACUAUAGCGUCGAUAUUCCCAUACAGCAUACAAAAUUAAUCAAUUUAAAUGACAAGGAUCAUUUUAAAUGUUAAAUGUCACAUGAUUGGUUAGUAAGAAAUAUUAGUAUCCCAACAUUACUCUUUUCAUAUUUCUCAAGGAGCUGACAUGUGAUUCCAAUAUCUGUUGUAGGAUGCUACAGAGAAUUUCCAACGCAGUGAAGCUGGAUUUCAAGGCUUGUUUCAAAAGAAAUAUGCUUAUCCAGUUAUGGUAAGUUUAAGAUAAGCUUGUCCUUUGUUCUUCUUCUUCUUUUCAAUUGAGACCUGUUGGGAUAAUGGGAUUAGAGAGAUAGCAUGAGUUGAGUUUUUCUAUUUGGGAGUGCAGGAUGUUCUUUUUUUGGCGCGUUUCACUUGAAAAAACAUUAAGUUGAAGUAUUUUUUAGUGCUUUUCGAUAGUUUUGAUGUGACGAUAUAAAAAAUAAAAAAAAAUAUGAAAAAAAUUUAUUUUGAUGAAUUUUAUAGUGAAAAACACUUUUAAAAAACACCAUGUAAAGGUGUUUAGGAGUAUGAUAGAGAAUGCUUUUCUUUUCGCUUGGAAAUGCAUCAAAAUAAUGUUUUUUUUUAAAUCUAUUUUUAACAUCAGAACAUCAAAACGAUCCAAAAACAUUAAUUUUUUUUUUUAAAAUUUUGACGAAAAGCAGGUUCAACCUCAAUUCUAAACAAGCAUUGCAUCACAAUACCAGACACUCUUACUUUCCUCAUAAAAUAGGAGGAAUAGAUGUUAAACCAACCAUUUCCUAUUUAGAAUUUUCUAAUAUAGCUAGUUAAUCAUUAUAUUGUAACAAUAUAAACGGCAUUCUUGAGAUAAGAAAUUAAAACAGUCUCGAUAUUAAGCUGUGUAUUUGCAGCUUUAUUUUCUGCUCUCAAUACAAGUUGAGUUACAAAUUAAUUCAUUAAUCGAUCUGUCCUCAUUCUUUCAAUCAAAUAUCAUCUCAUUUCAUUAUGCUGACUGAUAAACACAAUUUCAACUAACUUAGAUUGGAGUAGGGUUAAUGUUACUUCAACAAUUGGGAGGGAACAGUGUGUUUGCAGCUUAUCUUAGCACAGUGUUUGCUAAAGCUAGUAAGUCUCUCUCUUAAAAUAUAUGAACAUCUGAUCAUUGAUUAUUAACUUACAAGGAACUAAUGCAAAGAGAAAUCCCAGAAUAAUAGUUUUUAUUUAAUCCGGAAUGGAAGAGGAAACCUAGCCAAACUAUACGAUUCCAAUCCUUUUGACACAAGGAAAGGAAACAUGGACGAAAGGGAAGUCUUUCAUGGCCGUUACGGUUAUAAUAAGGAAGCAGAUUUUAUCAUGCUUCUUUCAACUGGGCUAGUGAUGAGCCUCUCUCACUAAUACUAUUAUUUUAUAAAAUAAAUAUUAUUUUACCAAAUAUUUAUAACUUUAAUAUAAUUAUUUUUUGGGUCAACAAUAUAAUUUUUUAUGAUAAUUUUAAUUUGAAUAAAAUAAAAUUAAUACUCUACAAUUAGAAUUUUUUUAUAGUUUUCUUAUACAAGUCUUCUAAUGUUUUUUAAAUAUAAAUAAGACACCAACAAUUGCAAUGAUCUAUCUCCAUCAUGAUAAAAUUUCAAAGAUUACCCAGAUUUGUCAACCAAGGCUAUAGACUCGUUGAAUACAUCAGUGUAACGCACGUGCGGCCCAAAACAUCUAAAGAUAUCACAGACCUGUUAUUGCCCCAAACUUCCUUGGCCAAGAAGGACAUAAUCCCUCUAAGACGAUGAAUAGUCCAAAACUUGAUGAAAAAAAUUGUUGGUUUAGACAUUGGGGCAAUGGCAACCCGCGAGACAGUGUCGGCAGAAUCGGCAGCAGUGACAAAUCGGUAGCAGUGUCGAAUUCGGCAGCGUUGGCUUAUUGGCACCACCAAGAGUGGAGUCUGGAGUCUGCAGUCAAGUCUAGACAUAAUAAGGAUUUUGCAAACUCGACCGAUGCUCUUCUUGCUUGACAAUCUUUCUUGUUCGAGAAUCAACUCUCAUAUUUCAAAGAUCAUGUCUAUUUAAAGUAUAAUUAUUGAAAUGAAAUCAGAGAGAUGUCAGUUUUUUUUUUAAAAUUCAAGCUUCUUUGGUCAAAGGCCCAACACACGUCAUUCAAUACAUGUAGUCCUUUGAUUAUCUUGUAUUUUGAAAACAGAAAUUGACUCAUCAAAAGAUCAAAAUGGCUUUUUCCAUGGUUCUUUGUGUCAAUUUUAAUCUCUGAUCUUGGGUAUAUCUUUUGAUGGUCUGUGAUGAGGUGACCUUCUGUGAAUUUCAAGAAACAAGAUGCUCAAGUCAGAACUCGGGCUUUUAUCAAGAAAGGUUUUUUUUUAGCACUUAUUUUACCAGCAUGCCUAAUAACAAGUAGCUUAAUCCAUGAAGUCACGACCCUUAUGGAAAAACUCUUCAAGCUUUGAGAGCGUCAUUUAUUGGUUCAAAUUGCUUACUUGAUUGAAAAGGGCUUUUAAAAGUACGUAAUGAAGGCUAUGGUUUAUGGCUAUGAAAGAAAGGAAUUUUACAGGCUCAAAAGGUGUUUGCGGGUUUCAAAAACCUAGGAUCAACAUCAAUUAUUCAUCAUUUCUCUUUCUCUUGUUGUCUUUGUAGAGAAAACGACAUAUAACCUUAUUAACCUCAAAUAUCAGAAUUCUCUUAACAUAUAUCAGAAUGCAAAUCCAACUUUUUCUUUGAUGAAUAACCAAUCUCAAUCAUCUGAUAACACCAGGGGUUUUAUUAUGGAUACCAGAAGUCAUGUUUGUAGCCCAGACUUUUUUUUUUUUUUCGACUUUCGACAUUUGUUGUGAAACUCCUUUUGUCUUUCCUAAACUUAAUAGGCAUUCUCCUUCAUUUAUCUUUGACCUGCCUUUAAGUGUAGGCAAUUUUCUUCUUCUUUUUUUUUUUAAUGGCAUUCACAUAGCCUUUCUCACAGUUUUUUUUUUUUUUACAUGCCCCCAGUCUAGGUCUUCUUUCUUUUAGCUCUCUCUCAAAUGUUGGACUUUUGUUCUAAGCCUUCCCUUUCACUUUUGUCUUCUCUUAUUUGCCGCCAGUGUGGGGUGUGAUCCUCGUCAGGGUUUCUUUUGAAAAGAAUAUUCUAUCAGGCUCAAAAUGGGAUUGCAAAUGAUAUAUUUCAAGUAUUGUGAAAGGAUAAAACAAAGAUGGCCUUUUCUCGUUUCAAGCAAGGUUGGUGUGAACCGAUAAAUUUUGUCCUCGUCCAAUGUAAUGAUUUCGACUUGCAAGAACCUUGAUUCGUGAGUCCAUAACUACUGAAUCCAUUACAUGUCAUUAUGCAUACUGCUAAAACUUAGCUACAUGGUGGGUGAUUCAGUUUCAUGUGUGAGCUCAAAAUUUUUUUGGUCACCCCAAUCCUCGAGUCAUUUCUGAAAUCAAAAUACUUUUAAUCUUUCAAGAUUGAUUAGCCUUAAUUGCAUGUUGGAGUUUGAUCAAAAUAUUUUGUCAAAAAUGAAAUGCUAAACAUCUCCUGACUUCAGAAUAACAAAGAGACAAAUAAAAGACAUGUUUCGUUAAAGAAUGAGAUGUGAUCCCAAAACAAAAUGCAAAAUGACAAAAUUCCAUAACAAUAUAAUUGACAAUUCAUCGCCAUUCUUGGACCAGCUUUCUUAGCAAGCAUUUUCAAUCACUUGUCAUUCUGAAGAUGUUCGUGGGACAAUAUAGCCAAUGACAUCACCUUUCACAAACUCAACUUGCCUCUUGCUCAUCCACCUCCAGAGUCAUCUCUCAUCAUUGUUCUGGAAUCCAUGACAGAACCUUCAAUUUUUCCCCUCUUUAUAGCUUGUUCAAUUCUUUCAGCAAUCCUCACAACUUCAUGGAAAUGUUGAGCCGAUCUUCCUAUUAAAUGCGCAUAAUAAGGGGAUUGAAAUGUGUUGGCAAACAACAUCACCAUUUCUGUAUCUAUCAGUGGAGGUUGAACAUAUGUUGCCUUAUCUCGCCAUCUUUGAGCAUAUGCCCUCACAGACUCUUGGUUUUCCUUCUCCAUAGACAUUAGGAUGGUUCUGUCAGGAGCAAUUUCAAGAUUGAACUUGUACUGCUUAAGAAAAGCCUCCACCAAAUCUUUCCAUUUCUUAACUUUAGCAUUGUCCAACCUCAUAUACCAGCUUAGGGCAGAUCCCGUUAGACUAUCUUGGAAAAAAUAGAUCAACAGCUUAUCAUCAUAAAUCACCUCAGCCAUUUUAUUGCAGUAAGAUCGAAGGUGAGUGUUUGGACAUUCCAAUCCAGUGUAUCUGAUGAACUCUGGUAUCCUAAAGUUCUUUAGUACCAAACACACUUCAGCUGCUCGCAUGGGAUCAAACCAAUCAUUACCCUCAACUGCUCUUAAUCUUUCUUCCAAAGCAGACAACUUGUCGUAGUUCACAAAAUCAGUGGAUCUAUUGCCAGGGGGUCCAUCUAUUGUUAAAUCCACGGUGAUGGGAGCUUGACUUGAUGGGAUAGGGGCGAUAGGCAUAAAAUGUUGUUCUGCUCUUGAAUCUGCCCCCAAGUUUUGAGAUGUCCCUGGGACGUGGAUUGAUGGUGUUUUCACAGGAGGUUGUGCAAAAAUCCCCUUUUCAUUUUUGGAGCUCAGCACUUGUUCAAGCAGAUCUGUAAGUCUAGCAACUUCACCUUUGAUGCUCUCAAUUUCAUUUUGAUAAUGGGCCUCCAAUUGAGCUCUUUCUUCAUUAUCCAUCUUUCAGGUGUAGGAAAUCUUGGAUGGGGGACCUAUGUUUCAACCUGGCAACUUGUAUAAUAAAUGUAUGAGUAUGUUCCUAUAUGAUGAGUUUGCCCUUCUAGGGUUGACACAUAGUCGUAACCCUUGCAUUUUGAUUUUUGCUCCACAACGGAAAUUUCCUGAGUAACGACCAUUGUGUCAACCACAAGUCUUGAGUUCAAGAAGCUUCAGGAAAUGUUUACUUUGAUGUAAAACAAAAGGUAAAACACACAACCUAAGGACAUGUUCUAUUCAUUAAGUGAGACCAAUGGUAGGUUGAUUAUCUAGUCUCAAAAGGGUCUCAUAUCUGCCCAGUGACGAUCUUCGUAAAGACAAUGUGGGGGCGUUGCAAGGAACAGUUAAGGCACGUAUGCCCACCAUUACCAAGCAGGCACUCAGAUAUGAGUUGGGUGUUUCACGCAUCUGAACCCUGACCAAUAGUCAUAGGGCAGAUCGCUAAUUCCCCACCUAACUUUAAAGCUUGUGUGUGCUUUCCAAAAAUUUAAAACAUGUGAUGCAUGAGGCAUUUCUAUACAAUACAUGAUUAUAUAUGUACAGAAAUUAAAGUGUGAAUAAAUAAAUAAAUAAAAUAAGCUUAUUAACAGAAAACACGCAAACCAAACAAAACACAAUUAUCAGACAAAAACAAAGUUUAGUCCACAAGGUCCCCAGUGGAGUCGCCAUUCUGUCGCACGUGUGCGGCGUCGCGGCGAAAACAUCCACCCUCGAAUUUUUAUAUAAUGUGUCAAUGUGGCGAGACAAGGAAUUCUUGUCUUUUAUUAGUGGAAAAAUGGAAUGGGAGUCGCCACCUAGUAUUUUGGUCACUAGGAACCCUAACUAGUCUCAGAGAUCGGGUACGGGGACUAGUUGCGUAAAGGGAAGGUAUUAGCACCCCAAAUACGCCCUACCUAAGGUAAGCUGCAUUGUUUUAUUGUCUGAUAAAAUUUAAAGUUUUGUUGUGUUUUUUAGUUGUUGGUCCGUCUAUGGUUUAAGAAAAAGUUCUCUUCGAUAAAGAAAUCUUUAUCUUAUUGGGUAAAACCUAACUGUUCUAACGUCAACAAAUAAUUUGAUAUCCGGAAUACGUCUUACGUAUAAGGUCGUAAUCCUAGAUAUUAAAAGAAAACAAAAUAAUGUUUUUUUGAAUUUUUGAAAUAUUGGUAAGUUCUCGUGACUUUAAUAAACUGGUUAUUAAAGCCAAAAUGCAUGCUAAACUUUUUUUUUUAUAUGAAGAUACAAUAUGAUUUUUUAUUUAUAUAUUUUUUAGAGAGACUUGGCCGUAUGCAUGAAAACAAAACAUUUUAUUUUAUUUAUUUAUUUUUUUUGAAAACCAGGUAUUUAAUACCGAAUUUGUAUCUUUACAGUAUAAAAAUACAAACCAAUAUUGAUCAAAAUGCAGUGAAAUAUUUGCGGAAAAUCACAGAUUUUUGAAAAGAAUUUUUUUGAAUUUUUUUGAAUUUUUCUGGCUGGGCCCAACCCGGCCCAUGUGGCUGGGCUGGACCCAGCCCACCUGUGUGGCUGGGCUGGACUCAGCCAGCCCAGCCUGGUCACUGGCCCAAAGCCAGUGACCCAAUUAUGCCAUGCACGUGUAAAACUUUACCCGUGUAUGAACAGUGCGAAGGUAAUUAAAUUACCUUCGCACUGUUCAUCUCCUUCUUGCCAAUUAACCCAAAACGCAGGCAACACUUUGUAUCACAGAGACUGUGGAAGGAAGUAAAACAUACCAGGUGCUGGAGAGAUGAAGAAGAUGGUGGUGCUGAUCUCUUCUGCUAUCUGCGUUCGCUGUUUCGGGUUGCUAUGCGUUCCUCUGUUUUUUGUUCAACUCACGUCUCUCUCUCUUUCCCUUUUUCUUUCUUUGCCCGUCUGCUCUCCUCUAUCCUCCUCCUUCUGCUCUCUUCUCUUGCUGCCUUUUUUACUUUCUUAUGCUCUUCCUUCCUCUGUUUCUCUCUUCCUUACAUUCCCCUCUCCCUCUGUUUUUUUUUUUUUUUCAUCGGGUCCUUCUCCCCCUCCUUCUCCUUUUUUUCCCUCCCUUGUUGCAGCUCUUCCUCUGGCUUUUAUAGCCAGAGGACGCCAGCAAUUUUGGUAAGCCGGCGUUCAUCACGGUGACGAGGGAUGUCAGCCGCGAUACCCGCCCCAUUGAUUCGAGAAUAAUUCCAUAAUCGUUGCUAACGUCUCCUUCCAUUAUUGUCACCGAUUCACAGCUGUUUGAAGACCAUUAAUGGUGGAAACGGCGCCGUUUGGGUUCUUCUAAUUUGGCUCUUGAAGUUUUCGCUGUUUUAUAAUCAAACCCCCCGACAAAAUUGUAAUUGGGUCCCUUAAUGUUAGCGCCUUUUCUGGUUUGAUCCUUGGUCUCGAAUUGUUUCAAUUAAGUCCCUAAUUGUCCAUCAAACUUCAAUAAUUAUGCAAUUAAGCCCCUGAUUUGACCAAAUCAACUCUUUAAAAUUACAAUUGGACCCCAGAACUUUAAUUUCUUCCGAUAAAAGCCUAAAUUGACUUACAAAAAUCAAUUUUCUUGCAAUCAAACCCUCUAUAAAUUCAAUUAAACCUUGGAUAAAAUUUAAUUGAGUCCAUAAACAUCUGAUUUUGGACUUUUCUUCCUAAAAUUAAAUUUUUCUCAUCAACAGGGCUCUCACUGUCAAAUUUCAACCUUUUGUAUUUUUGAAUCUCCUCAACCAAUUUUGGCAUUUUUUCGGCAUUCCAGCAAUCCUUUUUCUCGCUCCUAUUAUUGUUUGGAUUUCUUUUGAUAUAUUUUUUUGUAUUUUUUUAUUUUUAUGUGAACCCAAAAAUGGGUAACAACAGAUAAGGUAAAGAAUUAAGAUACUUGAUUUUUUGCUUUUGACAUAAAUCUUGAAUUAUUUUUCCAUUAAAAUCCUAAGCAUUAUCGAUAACUAUUGCUCAUGGUAAUAAAUAUAAGAAAAUAAUGUAUUUUUCAAAAAAUGUUUGGACAACCUUCUAAGUAAUAGGAGUAGGAAGUUUCUUCAUUCAUCUUUAUAAAGUGACAACGAUGGUAACAAAAUCCUUUUUUCUACCGGAUCUUUAGCAUUGGCUCAAAUAUGCAAAAAUAUCAUCCCUGUUUUGUUUCAACAUCAAUUCAUAUAAAAAUAUUACUAUAUGAUAUCAAUGUAUUUAAGGGUUUUUUUUAAAACGACAACUAUAAAUCCAUUACUAUAGAGCAUAUAUGCUCUAAAAAAAGAUGGCUAUUUGGGAUUAUUAUAUAGAAUAAGGUAAUGUUUAAAGCUGUGGUUAAACUGAAUUUUUAAUAAAUUUUGAAUUUAAUUUUUUGCUUCCAAUUAAAAAAAAAUAGUGUUUUUGAAUCACUUUAAAAUACUAAUAUAAAAAAAUUAAAUAAAAAAAUAUUAUUUUAAUAUAUUUUAAAAUAAUAAACACUUAAAAAAAAACUCAUAUCAUAAUACUUCUAGAUAAACUUUAAAAGUUUACGCGCAAGCUGGCCCGGAUAUCCACGUUAAACUAAAAAAAAUAUAGUUGAUAAUAUAUGAAUUCCACAUGCUUUUAUCUAUUUCUUAUUAUAUUUAUUGAUAUAGUCUAGGAGUACAAUGAUAGGCUUGUCAGCGUAAUCAUUCCGUGGCUAAUUUAUUUUUUAGUUAAAUAAAGCUCUCUCACGUUGAACCUGAAACCGUGUAUCCUGCCUGUGUUUGCUACACGCCGGUCCAACGAGCUAGGACAGGCUUAAUUUUCAAAUUGAAAGUGACAAUUGAAAGACUUUCAUGUCUUAAUUCAUGACUAGAUGCAGAUUGCAAAAUGUAAACAAAAAUUGUCAUGAACUUUCUAAGCAUGUGCUGCUGGUGUUCAAAGCAGGCACGAAAAAGAAACGCGGGGUCAACUGUGGCUAUUAGUCAAAGCAGCCACAAACCAAGAAUCUUGUGUUUCCUUGCACAACAAGACUGUCAAAGCAACUUCCAAAUAUUUUCUCACUAUAAAUAGACUGGAUUCCCUUGAAGAUCAUCAAGAAACUCCAACUUAACUUUGUUCAGCUAAAGAAAGAUAACUAGUUGGCCUACACCAAUACUUUGAUCGAAAAUUGUUUUAGAUAACAAGAGAAAGCAAGAAAUGGGUCGUUUCUCUGCCAUUUUUAGUUUCUUUGUUUCAUCAUCUUCUUCAAGGGUUGCAGAUGAAGCCCGUAAUAAGACAGAGAAAACCAAAAGCAAAUCAAAAUCAUCAGGUGCCCCAAUCGUAGUUUCUUACUUCCCCGUGAACUCAUCUCUCUCUCGCUUGUAGGAAAUUCCAUUCCAGGGAGAUGAAGAAGGGCCAUGUGGUACUUUCUAUGCCGAUAAUCGUGGACCAUCUUCGGCCUUUUUCACAAAAACCAACUGUAUGACAGUGUGGCAAUGCUGCUACGUUAGGCUUUGAAGUGAUUGUAGCAAUUAUGAGUAGCGGAAAUUCUAUCUCAAGACUAUUUCAUGCGUGAUGUUUAUGCAACUCAUCAUAUGGCUGUAGCCGGUACUGUUCUGAAUUAUUUUUUAUUUUAUGGGUAAAAUUUCUUAAAUUUUGCUUAUAUAUACUUUAAUCAGUGGAAUUCGAAGAUAGACGAACAAUGUUCGCAAUCAUUGAUAUAUAGUAUUUAUUUAUAUUAAAAUAUCUAUGAUCAAGAGUCAAGAUUAUAAAAAUCAUAGUAAAUAAAUAAUCUAGCAAUAUUGCUUUAAGAGCCACAUGCCCACAACCACCAUACAAUCAACUAAUUUGGGACUGUCGCUUGCUAAUAUAAUAUUCAACUAAGACUUAGCACACAUAUGUAUGAUUAGUAUAUAGUAUUAUAUCAGAUCUUCCUUGCUUUGGAAGCUCAGAAUAUAAAAAUCUCCCAUUUUGUGUGGUCAAAACAGCCACAACAUGUGAAAAUUGAUUUUCCUUUUCUUUCCAGGCAAAGCAUAAGCUUCUCUCGUACACUUCAUUCUUAUCUCCUUGUAAAUAGACAAGUGCCCAAGACGGUCUCCUUGAACUCAUUAUCUAAUCUUCAAUUAGUACCUUCCUCUUACUAUUCCUAAUUGUUACACUAAAAAAGCUAAUAGUACCCCAAAGUAUAUCUACUAGCAGAACUAUGGAAGAUCGUGCAAGAAGAAACUAUUCCAAUUUGUUUACUAGAGAGCUUUCUCAUCCCCGACCUCCCACCGUUGAAACUGAAGAAGAGUGAAGACUAAUUUCUCUCACUUUCAGCACCAUCAAGGGGCGGGGCUAGGAUUCAAAGAUAAAAGGGGGAAAAGUUGUCGAGAACAUGAAGUACAACAUAACAUAGUAAAAUUGAAUUAUUAAAAAUUAUAGAGGCUAUUAUUUUUACCAAAAAAAAUAAAGGGGCAGUAACUCUGCCGUUUACCCCAUGACUUGAUAUGGUUUAGUGAGACAAACAAAUUUACUAAGAAUUAACACACACGAAAUGAAAAAAAAAAAUAAGAAGAAACUAAUAUAGAAUAAAAAAAAUCAAGGAGAAUAAUCAAUAAAAGGAAAGGAAGAGGUGAAUCAAAAUAAUUAGGGAGAAGGGCACUAAACCAUGGGAUUGUUAUCGUUAUUAUUACAUCUUUGCAUCUCAUCUGUUGAGUAGUAAAUCGAUAUUGCACAUUGGUAGGUUUUAAGGAUACUGAUUUUCAAGAAUGGCAUUACCAAUACAUGUUGGGCUCUUAAGUACAAUAAACAUAGUCUUUCUUUUAUAUAUAUAUAUAGCCUAGGGUGAUGAUAAUUAUGGUUGUAAAAUUUGAUUUAAGAUUGAUUUGAAAAUCGACAACACAAAGUAAACUCAAAUCACAUUUAUGAUAAUUAUGAUUGUAAAAUCUGAAUCAGGAUUAAUUUGAGAAUCGACAAAUUUAGAAUUUAACAUGAGUUUAAGUUUUUUAAAGUAUAUACAAGUUUUAAUAUUAUUAUAAAUCUACAAUAUUAAAAUUUAAUAUCUUUUAGAGAGUUUUAGUGUAAUUACGAGAUAGUUAGUUGAUUAUAUUAGGUUUUUUCACAGAUAAAGAUAAAAAUCUUAGUUUAGUAGGAUUUAUAAUGCUAUUUAAAACCACCUUAAACAUUCGGAAUCAUGUAUAAAAAGAUAAUAAGAAAAAGUAGAGAGAAAAAGUUAUUUGUUAUGUUUUUUCUUAGAGUAAAACUUACGUGAGUUUUGUUGAAUAGUUUAACUUUAAUUCUAUAAAAAUCUAGUUUAUUUGAUUGACCUGACUUAAACUGACUCAAAGUUAAUCAGAUCAGAUAUAAAAAAAUCAAAAUAAUAUUAUUUUUAUUCAUCAUUAAAAAAAAUUAAAAAAUAAAAAAAAUUGAUUUGGUUAUGUAGAAAUUAACUCAAUGACGUAAUGACCCAAACUUUUAACUAGAUUAAAUCCAAAAACAAUUAUAGUAAUGAGAUCUUUUUGCUUCCCUAUAUAUAUAACAUUGGCUAACAUGUGCAAAAAUAUCAUCACUGUUUUGUUUUAACAUCUAUUCAUGUACAAAUAUCACAACAAGAGAUAUGUAUAUUUAGGGUUUAGCAAUGUAUGUGCUUUAGGAAUAGAAUUUCAACUAGUUAAUUGCCCACGUUGAUAAGAAACAAAUUAGCUAAAAAACGAUGAUUAGUUUAUGCAAGCGCAAUUUAAAGAAGGUGAAAAAUCAAUGUCAAAUAAUAAAAUCAAAAAAAUAAAAUAAGUCCAAAAAAGAAGCAAUGUCAACACGUGUUAACUUGCAAAACCCGUGACCCGAGUCAUUUGAAUAGAAGCAUCACAUUUGAAAAAACCAUGAAGCCCAAUUUUCAACAAAUCAAAUAUUGAAAGAUAAAAUUAAAAAAAAAUAAUCAUACAAAUGGAUAAAAAGAAAUAGGAGUUUUAUGCCAAAAAAGGCUCAAGGCCACCAAAAUCAACCCACCAAACCCAUAGGUCAGGUCAUGAGAUUGAGAUAACCUGAUUGAAAGGAAAAUGAACAAAAUCACAAUGCUAAUUUUUUAAAAAAGAAAAUAAGUUAAAGAAAAACUAUGUUAGCUUUUGUUAACUUAUAAAGCCCAUAACCCGGACUAUUUGACCAAAAAACCAAAUAUAAAAAAAACCAUAGAGCUCAAUUUUUAACAAAUCAAAUAUUGAAUGAUAAAAAUUAAAAACAAAAAUCAAUCACACAAAAUGAUCCAAAAGAAAAAAAACAAUAGCAAUUAAAAGCUAAAAUAAAAAGGCACUAGCCAACCCAAAUUAACUCAUCAAACCACGAGUCAGGUCAUGAGAUUAGUAUUAUUUAAUAUAAAGGAAAACGAAGAAAAUCAUGAAGUCUAUUUUUUAGAAGAAAAAAAACAAUGUCAAAUGAUAAAAUCGGAAAAGAAAAUAAGUAAAAAAAAAAAACAAUAUCAACCUGUGUUAGCUUCUAAAACCCAUGACCUAUGCCAUUUAAUUAGAAGCACCAAUUGUUUUACAAAACAAAAAAUCCAUGAAACUUAAUUUCCAAUAAAUCAAAAGAAUGAAGAUUCAUACUGAAAUAUAAGCAACUAAUAGGACUACCUUAAUAAUUUAAAUUGCCAUCACGAAUUUCAAGAGAGCUAAGGGAAAAAAAACAAAACUCUAACUGUGAGUGUCGUGACAUGCAUGACGUCGUGUUAAUUAUUUCUACUACAGAACGUGAAUUCAUGUUCUGCAUGCAGGUUUGAGAGCAUAGAGAAGGUUUACGUGGGAAUGAGGAAAAGAGAAGAGGUUACCUAGUAUGGAGAAGGUGCUUGGCAGUCGUUGUUGGGAGGUACGACAUGGGGAUGGUGGAGAUGUUGGUUGAUAAGUUGGGAGGUACGACAUGGGGAUGGUGGAGAUGUUGGUUGAUAAGUUGGCAGUUGGCGGGGUUGUUCUGAAGAGGUUGGUGUUGCUGGAAGAAGGAGAAGUUGAAGUUGAUCGAGGGAGGUUGCUUCUCACAAUGGAGAGAAAGAAAAUGUUGUUCUUUUGGUUGUCAUAGGUGUUCCUAUGGUUGGCCUAGAGAAGAAGAAAGGUGUUGGUCAUUUGAAAAGGCUGAUUUUUUAGCCUACUUUCUCUUGAAAUUUAUUUCCCUCUAAUGCACGAAAUACACCCUACUUAUAGGGGAUGAAAGAAGAACAUCUGGUGUUUAUUAGGGGUAAAUCUUGGCCCUUGAUUCAAAUAGAAAGGAUUUCAACCAUUAGCCAAAAAUCAUCAUCACAAGCUACGAAAUUUGGCUGCAAAAGGCUAAUCAUGCUAGCCCUUUUAGGGCAGUGCCGCGGCGUCUAUAAAGGUGACCAGACGAAAAUAGUUAUGUUGUGGUAUAGUACGGUGUCGGGCCAUCAGAGUGGUGUCCUGUUUGUCUUGUUUGGUGAAGAGAUGAGGCAUUAAAUGCCCUUAAAAAGUGGCCACCCUAGCAGUCUUUCAGGUAUAAAAGAUUAAAAAUGAUGAACAAUAGCCAGACGACAAGUCUUCUAACACCUUUUUUUUUGUUUUUGUUUUGGUCAAAAUGCACCAUUUCAUUUAAAUGAAACGACGCCGAUUUGACAUCCUUAGGGUCUUAAUUGGGGAUUUAACUAAAAUUCAAUUUAGUCAUUUGUCUUUUGAUUUUUUUAAUUGCAUCUCUAAUUGACUUCAAACUUUUAAUUUUAUGCGAUUUUGUCAUUGCAAACUUCAAAUAUCAACCCUGAAGUUCAGUGCCUUUUCACUUUGAUCCUUGAUUUUGAAUUUAUGCAAAAUGAUCCUCAAUUGACCAUUUAACUUUUAAUGUGGCUUAUGAUUAAAUCAAAUUAGCCUAUUAAAAAUCUAAUUAAUUUCUUGGACUUAAUUUUUAUGCAGAUUCGUCGAAUAAUCAUUUAAUUUGACCUUGAAUAUGCAUUAUCUCUUUAAUUUUUGAUACAAUUGGGUAUGAUUAGGCUCUCAAUUUUGUCCAAGACUCCAACUUGAUUCUCUAUACAUUUAAAACCCUCCUCAGCUUGCUAUUGUCAAAUUUUCAGUCUUGUUGUUGUUGUUGUUUAAAAAAAAAGGUAAAUUGAGGAGGGGGGAAUAGGUUAUAACAACGAGAAUCCGUCAAGAACCAACAAACAUGUGAAGUCUAUAGAGAAAAAGGACGCCACCAGGAAUCCAAUGACAGGACUAAAAAACCUUUUUCACCGUCUAAGGACAUCGCCAAAACGACACGACAUCCUUCCACUUGUCGGCACAAGCUUUGCAUGCAUAAACCACUUUUUAAACAAAAUAUUUUUUUAUUGAUGCAAAACGUAAAAUUACCCCUCAAUCAACUUUAUUAUAAUAAUAAAAAAAAACCUUGAUGAAAAUACCAAAAAAAUCUUAAAAGAAACUUAAAUAAAUUUAAUUUAAAGGGUUAUUUUGUAAAUUUAUCCUGAAAAAAUAUGAAAAUUCCAAAAAGCCGCUUUAAAUCAAUUAUUUAAAUUUUACUUUUAAAAGUAGUAUAUGUAUUUUACUGUUCAUAAAAAGGAGGGAAAACACUGGGGUGCCCUCGGACAAAUUGAAAAUGACAAAUGGAAGAUGAAGAAAAGACUAUUUUAUCUAUGAAUGAAGACUUCUUAGCUGAUUUGUUAAAAGAAAAAAUUAUAAAUUCACUAUUACAGCCCACAGUGUUUUUCUCUCUGGUCUCCAAUAAUUUUUCCCAUAAAUUAACUGUUACUGUCCACGGUGUUUUUCUCUCUGGCCCUGCAAUAAUUUUGCCCAUAACUUGGUUGUUUUGUUAAUUUUUUGCCCCCUCCACACCCCUGUUGACUCUGCCCUGACGAAAUUAGGCUAACAUAAAGAAAUUAUUACAUAAACUAAGUUCAUCACAUCACAUGAGGCAUAAACUAAAUUAAUAAACAUGGGACAUACAGGGGAAAAUACAGAGAUUUUUGUUGAUCAUGAUGCAUUUCACAUAAUUUUAUCUACAUGUCUUCUAUUUAUUAGUAUAGCCUAUAAGUGAUAUGGUAAAUUUAGCGUGUGUAAUCAUUUCUCGUCUAUCCUAACCUGGCAUGUUCUCAUUUCAUUUUAUUUUAUAUUUUUUAGAUUAAACUAGUUACAUGCCCCGCGCGAUGCCGCGAGUCAAUUAUUUUUUGCAUUUUAAAAAUAGCCAAGAUCUAAAAGUGUUAGGUUUUUUUGCAAAGUUAUAUCCAAGAAUCUCAGGUUUGGUUGCAACGCCUGACCCAAGAGUAAUGUUUAUAAUAUUAAUAAUAACAUUAAACUUGGGUUAACCCUUAGCAUAAAAGUGUCUGGACUGCAAUACCAGACCCAAUAGCAUUGGACGUGGGUCUGGCUGCAAGGUCGUAUCAUAAAAAUGUGAUAAUUAAAUAGAUUAGUUAAAAAGAAAAAAAACCAACAGGAAGAAAAAAACUAAUGAAAAAAAAGAAAAAAAAAGAUGAAUUAAUUGGGCUAACCCUUCAAACCAGGUUAACCCGUCAUACCUUGAAUUCGCAUCGUGAAAGUCUGAUAAUUAAAAAGAAAAAAACAAAUUAAUGGGUUAACCCAAAAUUAACUGGGCUAACUCGUCAAACCAAGUUAACCUGUCAAACCCGGAAUCCGUGUAAUGAAAGUUUGAUAACUAAAUAGAAAAAAAUUUAACAUCAAUUUAAAUUAAACGAAAAAAAUUAAUUAAAAAAAAAAGGCAUCAGCCUUUUCACUGUGGACUGCACUGUGCAGUUCACAGUCAAAGGCAUAAAAAAAAACUAAAGGCGUCAGCCGAGAACUACUUAGAAAAAAAUUUAAUAUUAAUAAACUAAAUUAAUUAAAUAAAUAAAAUUAAAAAGAAAAAAUAAAAGAAAAAAAACCUCUAAGAAGAAAAAAAAACUAAAUAGAAAGAAAUUUAACAUUAACAAACUAAACUAAACGAAAAAAAUAAUUAAAAAGAAAAAAAAAGCAAAAAAAAUAAAAUUCAGGUUAACUCGUCAAACCAAGUUAACCCGUUAAACCCGGGAUCCGUGUCAUGAAUGUCUGGUAACAAAAUAAAAAAAAGUGAACAUUAACAAACUGAACUAAUAAAAAAAAAUUAAUUAAAAAGAAAAAAAAUCCGGGUUAUCUCGUCAAACCAUGUUAACCUGUUAAACUCAGUAUUUGUGUCAUGAAAGUCUGAUAACUAAAUAAAAAAAAAUUUAACAUUAACAAACUAAAUUAAACAAAAAUAUUUAUAAAAAUAAUAAUAAAAAAAAAUGACGGGUCAACCCGGAAUUAACUGGGUUCACCCGUGAAACCAGGUUAACCGGUGAAACUCGGGAUAUGUGUCAUGAAAGUCUAAUAACUAAAUAGAAAGAAAUUUAACAUUAACAAACUAAACUAAACGAAAAAAAUUAAUUAAAAAAACAAAGAAAGAAGCAAAAAAAAUCCCAAAAAUCAUUAAAAAAACAGCUAAAAAAACUUAGACAACCUAAAAAAAAAAAAAAAAGAGCCUAAGGAAUCAGUGUUUUACUAUGGACUGCACAGUGCAGUCCACAGUAAAACACUGAUUCCUUUUAGCUAUUGUUAUAAUUAAGCUCUCUUACGUUGAAUAUUGAAAACGAGUAUGAAUAUUGCUACAACGGUCUAACUGUCUAGCAGAGGCUUAAUUUUCAAUAGGAAGUGACGAGUUAAAGACUUUCAUGUCUUAAAUUUUUUUCUCGAUGCAGAUUGCAGAAGGUAAACAGAAGUUGUGAUGAACUUUCUAAGUAUGUGCUGGCGUUCAAAGCAAUCACAAAAAAGAGAUAUUACUCGAGACGAGGGGUCACCUGUGUUUUGGCUAUUAGUCAAAGCAGCCACAAACCAAGAAACUUCGUAUUUCCUUGCACAGCACUGUCCAAGCAACUUCCAAAUAUUUGCUCACUAUAAAUUGACAGCAUUCCCUUGAAAAUCAUCAAGAAACUCCCACUUAACAUUUUUCAGCAAAAGAAAGCUAACUAGUUGGCCUACAGUGUCUUCACCAAUACUACUUCAUCGAAAACUGUUUUAGAUAACAAGAGAAAGCAAGAAAUGGGUCAUUUCUCAGCCAUUUUCAGUUGCUUUGUUCCAUCGGCUUCUUCAAGGGUUAUAGAUGAAGCCCAUAAGAAGGCAGAGAUUCCUAAAAGCAAAUCAAAAUCAUCAGGUGCUCCAAUCGUAGUUUCUUACUUCCCCAUGAACUCAUAUCUCUCUCGCUUGUAGCAAAUUCCAUUCCAGGAAGAUGAAGAAAGGCCAUGUGAUUGUUUAUGCAGCUCAGCAUAUGGCGGGAGCCUGUGCGGUUCUGAUUUUUUUUUUUUUUUUUUUAUGGAUAUGUUAUUUUAUUUGUUGCAAUAUCUAGGUAUUGCAAGAAUUGCUUAUCCUGUAAAGAAAACAAAGGAUGAAUACAAAAUCAUAUAUAAUUUUGUCCCGAAGUAAGAGUAAAAUUUAUGGAGUCCACCUCUCAAAUCAUUCACCCAUUAAAUUUAUUUGCAAAAUCUUAAUCCUACAGAUCCUGCACACCCCUAGAAACUUGCAAGCUUACAUCUAG
RNAcentral lists this long non-coding RNA (84219 nucleotides) under Populus trichocarpa (black cottonwood). Its description in RNAcentral is "long non-coding RNA (PTRI_LNC000234)". Lineage: Eukaryota; Viridiplantae; Streptophyta; Magnoliopsida; Malpighiales; Salicaceae. The record is from RNAcentral.